Molecule: long non-coding RNA, 81479 nt
Filed under: Daucus carota (carrot)
Lineage: Eukaryota; Viridiplantae; Streptophyta; Magnoliopsida; Apiales; Apiaceae
Description: long non-coding RNA (DCAR_LNC001904)
Source: RNAcentral
AUAUGCUUAUCUAGGAGCUAUAGCUGUCACACUGCAGUAGUUGGAUGAAGAUGCUGAAGAGUCUGCUUCGUGCACAUUCCUCUCAAUGAAGAAUCCAGGUUGCUUAGGUUGAGGCAGAGGAAGUUCACUGGUUAGCAUUAGCACCACUGUUGCCAUGGUUGGCCUGUCUGCUGGAUAUUGUUGCACACAUAAUAACCCUAUAUGAAUAGCUCGAAACACUUCGUAUUGAUGUUCAGGGCUUAAAUCUUCAAUAACCUCAUCUACUAGGUCCAACACAUUUCCGUCUAUAUAGGUUCUCCAUGCCUAAAACAUUUGAAAAUUUAGCGAUGAGUUCAAUUAGUAAAACAUAAGUAAUGAUAAUAUAACUACUUUAUAGGAUGGUCUAGAAACUUACAUGUCCGAGAAGGUUAAGAUUGUGAUCUAGAUGAGUAAAAUUUUUGUUUCUUUUUCCAUUCACCGUCUCUAAAAGGAGUACUCCAAAGCUAUAAACAUCAGAUUUCACCGAAAAUAUGCCAUCCGUUGCAUACUCAGGAGACAUGUAACCACUGCAAGAACAUCUGAUGUAUCACAUUUUUGCUAAUAGAAACAUUAUUUCUUACAAUGCAAGAUAUUCUUACUAUGUUCCAACUACUCUAGUUGUAUUGGCUCCUGUUUCCGUCUCUCCGCAGAUCCUUGCUGUGCCAAAAUCUGAAAUUUUUGGGUUCAUCUCAAGAUCAAGCAAAACAUUACUGGCUUUAAGAUCCCUGUGUAUGAUCCGCAAUCUAGAAUCCUGAUGAAGAUAGAGAAGUCCCCUGGCGAUGCCAUUAAUGAUGUUAUACCGAGUAGGCCAGUCAAGCGUGUAUCUUUUCGUCUUGUCUAAUCAAAAGGUCAUUAAAGUUAAUCCCGUGAUGUGAGUGAAAAAUUUGCUAGUAGACGUAGAAUAUAUGAUUAAAAAAUGAAUGCAUGAUCAUUGCUACAGAGAAAACGUAUACCAAAUAUGAACGAGUCCAGGCCUUUAUUGGGCAUGUAUUCGUACACCAACAUUCUUUCUCCCUCCUGCACAGAGCAGCCGAGAAGCUUCACAAGGUUUCGGUGCUGAAGUUGAGCAAUGCAGGAAACUUCAUUUUUAAACUCUUUCAAUCCUUGCCUCGAAUCCUUCGAAAGCCUCUUUACAGCUAUUUCUUUUCCAUCAUCGAGCAUACCCUAAAACAAAUCACUGAUAAACUUUCAUCUUCUCUAAUGGGAUAAAAUGACAUUUUCUUUCGUCAAUUACUCUAAUGAAGAAGCAAGACCAUGUACCAAGAGCUACACAUGCUUCAACUCGUGAUGUUUCUGAUUUCGUAAACAAUUAUUUUAUUUGUUGGGUUAUGCUUAGGGGUGGCAAUCGUUUCGUUUUGUAUAAUUUUUUUCGUGUACACGAAGGUGAAACCUGUAUCCGCCCGUUAUUAAUUUCGUGUACCUAAUUUGAAAUCCGUAUCCGAUCCGAAACGUUUCGUGUAUAUUUCGUUUACUUUUCCAGUAUAUUAUAUAUAAAAAUAUUAAUAUAUUUUUUAAUCAAAAAAAUAGAUUUAAUAUAUAUUUUCCUUUAUAAUUUUAUUAAAUGUGAAUGAUAUAUUUAUACAUGUAUACAAUUCUAUGUAAAUUGUUAAUGUGUCUACAAUAUAUAUCCACACAUACAUAUAAAUAUAUACUUUUUACACAAUUAUAUAUCUGAUAUAUCAUAACAUAUAUAUAAUAAAUAUUAUGUACAAAUAUUUCGUGUACUUUCGUGUACCCCAAUUAAAAACCCAUAUCCGAUACGAAAUCUAUAGUGUACUUUCGUGUUUCGUGUAUCGAAAAUCAAAACCAAUAUCAUUUUUUUCGUGUCGUUUCAUUUCGUGUUAACGUGUUACGUGUCAAAUUGUCAGGCCUAGUUCUACUAUACAAUUUAGUUGACUUUUAACCUUGAUCAGAUGCUGGCAUGACAAUUACCUUAUAGACAGGCCCAAAGCCACCUUCUCCAAGCAUGGAGUAUUUUGAGAAGCCAUUGGUUGCAAUAUCUAAGGUUGUGAUGUCAAACAAUGGCAACUCUAAAUCCUCGGCACCCAUCUCAUUGCUCCCACAGUUUUCAAAAUACGGGUCUGUUAUCCCUGCAUUUUCCAUGUGCAAACUCAUACAGUAAAGUAAAAGCAUAAACUUGAAAAUUCGAAAGAAGACAUUGAAUUGUUGUAAUACCUUCUGUGUGCUUCUUCUUCUUCUUUUUGUUCCUGAUUACCCACAGGCAUACACACAUCAUUGUUACCGUCAUUAGAAUAGGUAUCCAUACGAACCUUACUUUGGAUCUCCCUUUUUUGCCUUCAUAAUUAAACAGGAAGUGAAUCAAUUUACUAUAUUCCACAAAACAGGGAAAGACAUAUAUGUAACAAGUAGUUCUGAAACCGGUAGACGGUAUUAAAUGAAAACAUUCAGAGUACCUAAUUCAGAUGCAGCCAUUCUUAUGUAAAGAACUUGACCGUUCUCUUUCUCAUCUCUAAUAUCAAUAAGCUCAUUAAACCACAACAAGCAUCCGCUUCCACUGCCUCGAACAUCUGUAUUUGCAUAAGCUGUGCAUGAGCAAUUGCUCAAGCAUUCUUUCUGGCACUCGUCAAGGUUCAUAUUCUUAUCAAACCAGGAACGCUGAGUAUCUGGUAAUUUCAAGCCUGAAUGUUUCACAAAUCCCUCUCCAUUCCCACAACUCAGUUUUUCUUUCCUUGCACAGCCUCUGGACCAGUCUGUAGCAUCCCAUCCUAUUUUAUCUUUUGGCUGAAAACCACGGAAACACAUGCACUUAGGAGAAUUGUCAAUGUUACAGCUCCCAUAAGCUCCACAUACCCUAUAAUAAUCACAAUCAUCAAUUGGUCCAGCAAGAAAACGCUGCCAAAUUCGAGAUUUUUCAAUCCAUACCCAUCUUUGUAUAUAACCUAAUGGAUUCAACACCCUCCUUGUAUAAACUGAACUAUUAACAGCUUCGUAAACAUAAUNNNNNNNNNNNNNNNNNNNNNNNNNNNNNNNNNNNNNNNNNNNNNNNNNNNNNNNNNNNNNNNNNNNNNNNNNNNNNNNNNNNNNNNNNNNNNNNNNNNNNNNNNNNNNNNNNNNNNNNNNNNNNNNNNNNNNNNNNNNNNNNNNNNNNNNNNNNNNNNNNNNNNNNNNNNNNNNNNNNNNNNNNNNNNNNNNNNNNNNNNNNNNNNNNNNNNNNNNNNNNNNNNNNNNNNNNNNNNNNNNNNNNNNNNNNNNNNNNNNNNNNNNNNNNNNNNNNNNNNNNNNNNNNNNNNNNNNNNNNNNNNNNNNNNNNNNNNNNNNNNNNNNNNNNNNNNNNNNNNNNNNNNNNNNNNNNNNNNNNNNNNNNNNNNNNNNNNNNNNNNNNNNNNNNNNNNNNNNNNNNNNNNNNNNNNNNNNNNNNNNNNNNNNNNNNNNNNNNNNNNNNNNNNNNNNNNNNNNNNNNNNNNNNNNNNNNNNNNNNNNNNNNNNNNNNNNNNNNNNNNNNNNNNNNNNNNNNNNNNNNNNNNNNNNNNNNNNNNNNNNNNNNNNNNNNNNNNNNNNNNNNNNNNNNNNNNNNNNNNNNNNNNNNNNNNNNNNNNNNNNNNNNNNNNNNNNNNNNNNNNNNNNNNNNNNNNNNNNNNNNNNNNNNNNNNNNNNNNNNNNNNNNNNNNNNNNNNNNNNNNNNNNNNNNNNNNNNNNNNNNNNNNNNNNNNNNNNNNNNNNNNNNNNNNNNNNNNNNNNNNNNNNNNNNNNNNNNNNNNNNNNNNNNNNNNNNNNNNNNNNNNNNNNNNNNNNNNNNNNNNNNNNNNNNNNNNNNNNNNNNNNNNNNNNNNNNNNNNNNNNNNNNNNNNNNNNNNNNNNNNNNNNNNNNNNNNNNNNNNNNNNNNNNNNNNNNNNNNNNNNNNNNNNNNNNNNNNNNNNNNNNNNNNNNNNNNNNNNNNNNNNNNNNNNNNNNNNNNNNNNNNNNNNNNNNNNNNNNNNNNNNNNNNNNNNNNNNNNNNNCAAAAAAGGAAAUGUGACAACUAAAAUGGGACGGAGGGAGUAUUUGACAAAAUUAAUGGAUUUUAAACAUUAUCGAAUAACCUCAAAUUUCACGAAUGAAAAAAAAUCUUUUAAAAUUUCAAUCAAAUACACCUCUUAUUAAUUUAUUCAAGAUGAAAAAGUAUUAGCCAGAAAUUGACUCAUAUAUUAUUUUAACCAAAAGAGACGUUUGGAUGGUAGGCGGGACGAGUGAGGUAUGGGAAUGAGUAUUCUUAUCCAUCAAGUGGUAAUGAGAAUCCGGUCGAUACAACAAAAAUGCUAAUUCAAACUAAUUCAAACCCCAACACAUGGUCAGACUUUUUUCUGGCCGAUGUCCAAAAACUAAAUUCGACCACACAUUCAAAAACUAACAAAAGAAAAGUGAUAAUGGUUUCUACUUUGUAUUAGGUUGGCCCUCAAUAACAAUGGCAUUGAUGUGAAUGAGUCAUCUUUACUAGUCCCUACCAACUGGGUCUAUUCAAAAGACUUUAAACAUACAUGAAUUCAGGAGUUUAUGUCCAAAUACCAAUAUACAGUUGUAGCUUUGUAAUCACGCACGUUUCCGAACUAUAUUACCUUCAGCCAUCAACAGUUUGUAAUACUUAACAAACUCAAGACAAAGACAAAACAACUCUCUGUCGUUUUAUGUGUUCCAACUUCCAAACCUUUGUGUCUCAGUCUGCUGACUAUUGGAUAUCUCUUAACUCCUUCCAAUUCAUCACUUACAAAAUCAUGGCGGCUGGGGGUAAACUGGUGCAAUUAUAAACUAUCUGCGAUUGCGUCCCGAGAAGCCAACUGCUUCUGUGAGCCUAGAUCAUGAUGCUAGAUCCCUGCAUUAUAGGCUCAAGUCCAGCUUCAAAUUACGAAAGUAAUAAUGACAUUCUUCCUACUGCAUCCAUCCAUCAAUUAAGCAACACGCUGAAAUAAUCAACUACAGGAUUAUACAGAAUGAUGGCUUAACCGAAGAAUAAUACAACUUUUUCUCUUUGAAAUGACCAAAUGCAGCUUUCAGUAACAUCAUUAUACUCUUAGAAAUUUUCAUUCUGCUCACUAACCGUUACAUUCCAUUAAAAAUUUGAUGGAAUGUUGAUUAAGCUUGGUGGCCUGGCUUGAAUAAAUCCAACGUAACAUGUACAGUCACUUGAAAUAGCGCUUUGAUCACUCAACUGGCUCGAAACUUAUAAUUUGAUCACUAAACUGAUGAAAAAAAACUGAAAAGAGACCAGACAAAAAGCUCUCCUACAACAACAUCAAGUGCUCUCCUACAACACGUCUUUACAACAAGAUACACACAUUAUCAUCAAUGAUUUCACUCACAAAUACUUCACUGCUUCGAAUACUCUAUCCAUGUAAGAUAACAAAACAAGCUUAAGGGUGCUUUUUUACUUUUCUCAAUAACUCGGUGAUUGGCUAGCUCUUUACUGCUAUUUCCUUUUCGUCAUAAAAUAAUUCUAGAAAAAUGAGCAUACACAGAAUCUUUAAUAUUGGUUAUAUUAAACCAGAGCAAUGCAUAUCUUGUUGAUCCUUUAGUCCAUCAACAUAUUAAUCUGGCUUGCUGGCAUCCUUUAGUCCAACAACAUUGUUCUUAAAAUUACUAGGAAGUCUCUCCAUAUAUACGAUAUACGAGGUUAAUAGUUUAUCUGUUACGCAAGGGAGAGAUUAGUACAUACUCCCUCCGUCCCCCUCAAUUGUUUACAUUGGAGGGGGACACGGAGACCAAGACAAUGUAUGAAAAAUGAGUAAAGUUGGAUGAAAAGUGGGUAAAGUGGUGGGACCUAUCAAUAUUUAAUAAUUGAUUUGAGAUAGUGGAGGAAAGUAGUGGGUGUAAUAGUAGUUUUUAUUGUUAAAUAUGAGAUAGUGGGGGUAGAUAGUGGGUGUAAUGAUGGGAAAAACUUACUAUUUAUAGUAACGUAAAGAAAUGAGAGGGACAUCCCAAAAUAGUAACUGUAAAGAAAUGAGAGGGACAGAGGGAGUAUAUGUUUAUAUCCUGAACAGCUUUGAUACUCUUAACGAGGAAAGUAUCAUGCUCUCUUGCAUGAUCAAAUUGUAAGUGAAUCAGAGGAAAUGCGUUUAGAUGAAGUUUAGAUGCAUCACAAUUAUUACCUUAUAAACAGCCCCGAAGCCACCUUCUCCGAGCUUAGAGUCUGUAGAGAAGCCAUUGGUUGCACUAGCUAAGGUUGAGAAGUCAAACAAUGGCAACUCAGCAUCCUUGUCACCAUUCCCAAAGUCGCCAUCGUCAUCAAGAUACAACAGCCUUUUUAUCCUUGCAAUUUUCACUCGCAAAGGAAUAAUACAAUUAAUACUAAGCAAAAUAUUCUGAAAGAAAACCUUGAAUCAAUUAAAUUAUAUAUUACCAUCUGGAUGUUUCUUUUUCUUCCUGAUUACCCACAGACAAGCUCCAAGCAUCGUUGUUACAGUAAGCAGAAUAGGGAUGAUCAUGAAUCUUAUUUUAGACCUCCCUUUUUUAGCUUCAAGUUGAGACAGUAAGUAAUAUCAAUUCACUAAUUACCAAGAAAUAAGGGGGGAGCAAUAUGAGCAAUCAGUGGUGCUAAGUUGUUAGUAAAUAAAAGAAAUUUAGUAUACCUAAUUCAGAUGCAGCCAUUCUUAUGUAAAGAUCUUGACCAUUUUCUCCCUGCUCUCUAAUAUCAAUAAGCUUAUCAAGCCAUAACAAGCAUCCGCUUCCACUGCCUCUGAUAUCUGUAUUUGCAUAAGCUGUACACGAGCAAUUCUUCAAGCACAGCCUCUUACACUCGUCAAGACUCAUGUUCCUGUCAAACCAGGAACUCUGAGUAUCUGGUAGUAUCAACCCUGACUGCUUCACGAAUCCCUCUCCAUCCGCACAAGUCAAUUCAACUUUCCUUGCACAACCACUAGACCAAUCUGCAACAUCCCAUUCUUUUUGACUUUUUGGCUCAAAUCCGUCUAAGCACUCACACUUAGGAGAUCUGUUAAUGUUACAACUACCAUAAGGUCCACAUAACUUAUAACGAUCACAAUCAUCUAUCGGACCACUAAGAUAAAGUCGCCAAAUUUGUGAUUUUUCAAUCCAUACCCAUCUUUGAACAGAACCAGAUGGACUCAAUACUAUCCUUGUAGAAACUGAAUUAUCAAGAAGUUUGUAAUAAUAAUACAACUCCUUAUCAUUGGAGACGAAAUAAAACUCAUAAAUUGGGUUAGACUUGAAGUUGGGUGCAGCAGAAAAACGAACACCAUUCCAAGGCCCAGCUCGAGAAUGUAUAGCAGAGCCUUUCCUCGUCAAUAACUGAGGAAAUCCAUUGGGAUCAAUACGAUUAGUAUAUUCACCUGGAGAUGGAUCAUCAUCAGUUUUCCAAGAACUGAGAUACCUUUCAAGCCCAGUUUCCAAAUUCCACCCGAGUUUACAACCUGGUAGAAAUGUAUUUCCAGGUAUAUCAAAACUUUGCCACAGAUAAUUUGCAGGGUCACUGUCCUUUACAUCUCUAAUAACAAGAUUCCCAGAAUCCAACAGCUGCGCGACAGGACUAUUGACAGGCGUGGACGAGUUUGAUGACCAAACUACGUUAUCAAAACUAUCAAGAAUGACAAGGAUUCCAUUGGUGUUGAGUUUCAAGAGACCAGAUGUAGUAUUGAGAGGAGUUUCUCUGUUGGCAAUCCAUACAAUUGUCUUGAGGGGUAUCUUCUUGUACCAUAUACCCACGUAUCGAUUUGUGGAGUUGCCAAGACCAAUGAAGCCGAGCUCGAAUUGACCACCGGCUGAAACUAUUGUGUUUCCAUCUCUAACAGAUUGGUUGGGCCUUAUAAUAUCUUCCGUUGCUAUAGAGUUGAGUGAAAGAGAGAACACAAAAAUGCAGAAUAUCAAAGUGACAGAAGCACUUGUUGUACUGGUGCGUUCCAUUAACUUGAGGACGUAUUGAAGGAUUGGUUUCUUCUUUAAACUAACAGUGUUGGAGUCCAUUUUAAUUAAAGAACUCUAAUGCUGUAGUGUUGAACAUACAAUUUCAACUCAAAAGCGCAAUAUACCAACUACAACGACUCUAUUGGAUCCAAGCCUAUAUAUAUAAUUCAAACUUGAUGGCUGCACUAUUGUGUAAUUUCUCAGGAUUUUCUUCUUCGAAUUUUUCUUGACUCGGUUGUGGCCCAUAAUUGAGACAAGUGCAGGACCUGGCUCCAUAAGUCCUUAAUGCAGAGGUGUCAUAACAUUACUUGGUAUGACAUGACAUUCAUAUUUUUCUUGAUUCUAAUUCUUUUUUAUAGAAAUGUUAAUUAAAAUUUUCUAAUUUUUUCCGUAGAACAGAGAUGACAAAACAUAAUAUGACGUUUAUAUUUUCCUUAACUCUAAAUCUGUUUUGAUAAAAAUGUUAACUAAGUUGCUAAUUUUUGAUAAGAGAAUAGUUAGACUAUAUUAUUAUUAUUAUUAUUUUUUGUUGACAAAGAGUUAGACUAUAUUAUUAAAAAAUAUAAUUAUUGGCAAAAGAAUUGAAAUAUAACAAAUAAUAAUUCCUAAAAGAUAUAAAAUGAAAUGAAUAAUAAUAACAUAUAAUUGAUGAGAUUCAGGAGACUAACAGUUUGUGAAUUAGUCAGUGUAUGAAUAACAAGGAGAGAAUGUAUUUACACUAAAGAAGAACAAUGAGAAAUGAAAGAGAGUGUUCACAAUGACCAUUACUGAACUACUUGAUGUCUUGAUUCUAUAUAUACACACAUGUUUACUAACUAACAGCUGUCAAUCUUAACAAACUAUUCUUCUAGAAGCUUCUUAUCACAUCUGAAAGUUGAUGCUUGAUGCUGACACAUGUAUGCUGAGUUGGAACGUGUUGCUGCUAUAGCUCUUUAUCAGAGACCAGUUUUACUAUAGAGAGGUGUUUCUCUAUUGGCAAUCCAGUAAUGUCUACUUCGGCAACGGAGUUUAGUAGAAGGCAGAAUAAGAUUAUGGACAAUAACAAUGUCAAUGAAGCAGUUGCGGAACUUUGGCCUUCCAUUAACUUUGACAUGUUUCCUGUGUUUGGGUAAGUUGAAUGAGCCGAAAAGGAAGAGAGUUUUCAAUGGUACAACUGUCAGAUAAUUUUGUAGGAGAGAUUUGAUCGAAAGCAUUACGUCAAAACACAUUAAGGUUCCAUACACGGCUAAUUAUUACUAGUACAUUACAAAUAUUGUGAACUAAUGUACUAUUAAUGCACUGGAAACAAUAUAGAUGACUAGCCAUGCCUAGGGGCGUGGACAAGAAAUUUAUGGGGUAUAUUCAAUUCGCAAUUUGGAUUUUAAGGGAUUACUAAUAAAUCUAGUUUGGUAUUCACUAAAUCCUUCCAUUCAGAUGAACGAGAAUUAGACUUGUGUUACUAAAUAAAAAGAACAUUAGCCUGAACUGGUCUUAUGCCAUCAACAAUGGAAUCAUCAAGCUCUGUUGUUUGAUAAGAUCUAAAACAGAAUCGAAGUGUAUGCUAAAAUCUAACAAUGAACUUUGGGAUGGAAAUUGAUAACAGUGCUUAGGUUCGAGAGAGAAAUCAGUUGCUUCAGUCAAGAAUUUGGUGAUACAAUCUAUUAUCACCAGAAUCUCAUGAAGAUCACUUGGAAUAAGAAAUAGAUCUAUUUACUGUAUAAAUAUAAUAAUGCUAUAUUAGCACAUUGUUUUUUUUUCCUUUCCCUUUGGACAUUGAAAUUUGAAAUAUUAAAAGCUGCAAUCAUAAUUUAUAUUUUUGAAUACAAUAAAAACGAAAAAUAAUAUGCUUAUCUAGGAGCUAUAGCUGUCACACUGCAGUAGUUGGAUGAAGAUGCUGAAGAGUCUGCUUCGUGCACAUUCCUCUCAAUGAAGAAUCCAGGUUGCUUAGGUUGAGGCAGAGGAAGUUCACUGGUUAGCAUUAGCACCACUGUUGCCAUGGUUGGCCUGUCUGCUGGAUAUUGUUGCACACAUAAUAACCCUAUAUGAAUAGCUCGAAACACUUCGUAUUGAUGUUCAGGGCUUAAAUCUUCAAUAACCUCAUCUACUAGGUCCAACACAUUUCCGUCUAUAUAGGUUCUCCAUGCCUAAAACAUUUGAAAAUUUAGCGAUGAGUUCAAUUAGUAAAACAUAAGUAAUGAUAAUAUAACUACUUUAUAGGAUGGUCUAGAAACUUACAUGUCCGAGAAGGUUAAGAUUGUGAUCUAGAUGAGUAAAAUUUUUGUUUCUUUUUCCAUUCACCGUCUCUAAAAGGAGUACUCCAAAGCUAUAAACAUCAGAUUUCACCGAAAAUAUGCCAUCCGUUGCAUACUCAGGAGACAUGUAACCACUGCAAGAACAUCUGAUGUAUCACAUUUUUGCUAAUAGAAACAUUAUUUCUUACAAUGCAAGAUAUUCUUACUAUGUUCCAACUACUCUAGUUGUAUUGGCUCCUGUUUCCGUCUCUCCGCAGAUCCUUGCUGUGCCAAAAUCUGAAAUUUUUGGGUUCAUCUCAAGAUCAAGCAAAACAUUACUGGCUUUAAGAUCCCUGUGUAUGAUCCGCAAUCUAGAAUCCUGAUGAAGAUAGAGAAGUCCCCUGGCGAUGCCAUUAAUGAUGUUAUACCGAGUAGGCCAGUCAAGCGUGUAUCUUUUCGUCUUGUCUAAUCAAAAGGUCAUUAAAGUUAAUCCCGUGAUGUGAGUGAAAAAUUUGCUAGUAGACGUAGAAUAUAUGAUUAAAAAAUGAAUGCAUGAUCAUUGCUACAGAGAAAACGUAUACCAAAUAUGAACGAGUCCAGGCCUUUAUUGGGCAUGUAUUCGUACACCAACAUUCUUUCUCCCUCCUGCACAGAGCAGCCGAGAAGCUUCACAAGGUUUCGGUGCUGAAGUUGAGCAAUGCAGGAAACUUCAUUUUUAAACUCUUUCAAUCCUUGCCUCGAAUCCUUCGAAAGCCUCUUUACAGCUAUUUCUUUUCCAUCAUCGAGCAUACCCUAAAACAAAUCACUGAUAAACUUUCAUCUUCUCUAAUGGGAUAAAAUGACAUUUUCUUUCGUCAAUUACUCUAAUGAAGAAGCAAGACCAUGUACCAAGAGCUACACAUGCUUCAACUCGUGAUGUUUCUGAUUUCGUAAACAAUUAUUUUAUUUGUUGGGUUAUGCUUAGGGGUGGCAAUCGUUUCGUUUUGUAUAAUUUUUUUCGUGUACACGAAGGUGAAACCUGUAUCCGCCCGUUAUUAAUUUCGUGUACCUAAUUUGAAAUCCGUAUCCGAUCCGAAACGUUUCGUGUAUAUUUCGUUUACUUUUCCAGUAUAUUAUAUAUAAAAAUAUUAAUAUAUUUUUUAAUCAAAAAAAUAGAUUUAAUAUAUAUUUUCCUUUAUAAUUUUAUUAAAUGUGAAUGAUAUAUUUAUACAUGUAUACAAUUCUAUGUAAAUUGUUAAUGUGUCUACAAUAUAUAUCCACACAUACAUAUAAAUAUAUACUUUUUACACAAUUAUAUAUCUGAUAUAUCAUAACAUAUAUAUAAUAAAUAUUAUGUACAAAUAUUUCGUGUACUUUCGUGUACCCCAAUUAAAAACCCAUAUCCGAUACGAAAUCUAUAGUGUACUUUCGUGUUUCGUGUAUCGAAAAUCAAAACCAAUAUCAUUUUUUUCGUGUCGUUUCAUUUCGUGUUAACGUGUUACGUGUCAAAUUGUCAGGCCUAGUUCUACUAUACAAUUUAGUUGACUUUUAACCUUGAUCAGAUGCUGGCAUGACAAUUACCUUAUAGACAGGCCCAAAGCCACCUUCUCCAAGCAUGGAGUAUUUUGAGAAGCCAUUGGUUGCAAUAUCUAAGGUUGUGAUGUCAAACAAUGGCAACUCUAAAUCCUCGGCACCCAUCUCAUUGCUCCCACAGUUUUCAAAAUACGGGUCUGUUAUCCCUGCAUUUUCCAUGUGCAAACUCAUACAGUAAAGUAAAAGCAUAAACUUGAAAAUUCGAAAGAAGACAUUGAAUUGUUGUAAUACCUUCUGUGUGCUUCUUCUUCUUCUUUUUGUUCCUGAUUACCCACAGGCAUACACACAUCAUUGUUACCGUCAUUAGAAUAGGUAUCCAUACGAACCUUACUUUGGAUCUCCCUUUUUUGCCUUCAUAAUUAAACAGGAAGUGAAUCAAUUUACUAUAUUCCACAAAACAGGGAAAGACAUAUAUGUAACAAGUAGUUCUGAAACCGGUAGACGGUAUUAAAUGAAAACAUUCAGAGUACCUAAUUCAGAUGCAGCCAUUCUUAUGUAAAGAACUUGACCGUUCUCUUUCUCAUCUCUAAUAUCAAUAAGCUCAUUAAACCACAACAAGCAUCCGCUUCCACUGCCUCGAACAUCUGUAUUUGCAUAAGCUGUGCAUGAGCAAUUGCUCAAGCAUUCUUUCUGGCACUCGUCAAGGUUCAUAUUCUUAUCAAACCAGGAACGCUGAGUAUCUGGUAAUUUCAAGCCUGAAUGUUUCACAAAUCCCUCUCCAUUCCCACAACUCAGUUUUUCUUUCCUUGCACAGCCUCUGGACCAGUCUGUAGCAUCCCAUCCUAUUUUAUCUUUUGGCUGAAAACCACGGAAACACAUGCACUUAGGAGAAUUGUCAAUGUUACAGCUCCCAUAAGCUCCACAUACCCUAUAAUAAUCACAAUCAUCAAUUGGUCCAGCAAGAAAACGCUGCCAAAUUCGAGAUUUUUCAAUCCAUACCCAUCUUUGUAUAUAACCUAAUGGAUUCAACACCCUCCUUGUAUAAACUGAACUAUUAACAGCUUCGUAAACAUAAUAUAACUCCUUGUCAUUAGAAACAAAAUUAAUCGUGUAAAUUUGGUUGGGGCUCAAGUUGGGCGUUCCAGAAAAUCUAAGGCCAUUCCAAGAUCCCCCACGUGAAUCUAUAGCCGAACCUUUCCUUAUCAUGAGCUGUGGAAAUCCAUUACGGUCAAUAUGAUUUGUAUAUUCACCUGGAGAUGGAUCAUCAAGACUCUUCCAGGAAGUGAGGUAUCUUUCUAGCCCCGUUUCCAAAUUCCACCCGAGCUUAGCACCUGGUAAAUGAGUGUUUCCAGGUUUAUCAAAACUUUGCCACAGGUAAUUAUCAGUCUCACUUUCAUCUCUAAUAACAAGAUUCCCAGAAUCCAGCAGCUGCACAACAGGAUUAUUCACAGAUGCCGUGGAGUUUGACGACCAAACCACAUCAUCAGAAGCAUUGAGAAUGACAAGAUUUCCGUUGCUGUUAAGUCUCAAGAUAUUUGAUGUAGUAUUGAGAGGAGCUUCUCUGUUGGCAAUCCACACAAUUGUCUUUUCCGCUAUCUUCUUGUACCAUAUACCCACGUACCGAUUUGCCGAACUCCCAACAGUUACAAAGCCAAGUUCGAAAUGAGCAGCAGAUGAAACAAUAGUGCUUCCAUCAUCUCUAAGGAUUUGGUCUGGUCCUAUAAUAUCUCCGGCUGCUGCUACUGUACAGUUUAGUGAAACUGAAAAUAACAAAAUGCAGACUAAAAAAAGCUUCAAAACUGUUGUAGAGCUGCAGCCUUCCAUUAACUUUGUUAUAUUAUUUCAGUUGUUGCUCAGAGAGAAAUGAAAAAUUAACAGUGUCCCCCCCGCCUUUUAAUUGUGGAUUUUACAUGUAGCUUUCCGAGAGGUAUUCCCCUUCCCUAACGUUAUGUCUGUCAAUUAUGCACCACACACGUUUCCAUCGGCAUCUGUAAUAUCAGCAGGAAUUCCCUUAUGAAACUUCGAAGUCCUUCCUUUAUUUGUGCCUGCUAUCUGCAUGACUUGUUUACUACGCUGAGAUUGAAAAACUUUCAAUAACAGUCUUUUUUAUUAGUUUAUAUGAAGAGACCAGCCUGGGAAACCACAUAUGUUGUCCGAGGUUUGCAAUGUUGUCUCAAUACAAAAGUGAUCUAUAGAAUCCGCCCCCGAAUCAUUUACAUAUCACAACAAGGCUGUGGUUACCAUCCAUUUUUACCCAAGGAAUCUAGUCCGUUGCAAUUUAUCAACUAGGGAUGCUGAUUUUUUAAAACUGCAGCCUGGCUUGGUCGAAAGUUUAAAGACAAGUAGACAACCCGCAUGUAAUAACAUAAAAAGCGCAUAAACCAAACCAUAUAAAUAUAAAUAUGGUGUGUUUUGCGUGCUUUAUAAAUUUAAAAAAUAAAUACUUUUAAUUGAAAUUAUGAAUAAAAUAUAAAUAUAUGGUGAUGAAAAUAUUUUUUAUAAUAAAUUUAUUUCAAAUUUAUAAUCUCCGAGUUGCAUACUAAAAAAAAUUUAAGCAAAAAUGUUUAUUUAAUAAUAAUGAGUAUCAGGACAUGUAUUAUUAUAAUAUAAUCAGUUUAUAGAAUUUAGUAUAAUAGUAAUACAAGAAGCUAGAUUUAUUAAAUAAUAACUAAUUAACUAUUUGGUUUCGAAAAAAAAUAAUUAAUCAAUUAUUAUUUGAAGAAGUUUAACAAAUAUACACAUAACAUAAUUGUAAAUUAUAUAUAUAUAUAUAUAUAUAUAUAUAUGUGUGUGUGUAUAUAAUGAGUUGGGCUCAAUGGAGAUCGUAAACUUUGGAGUCAUCAGAGACUACAAGAUCUACCGUUAAAAUAAUCUGACAAUUAAUAGACAUAAUUAAAUAUUCUUUAUCCUGCAUGUAUAGUAAUGUAAUAUUAAUAAUUUACACUAUUCUUAUCCUACAUUUCUAGUAAUAUAUUAUUAAUAUUCUCGUCCUGCAUUUCAUGUUUUAGUUUUAAUUCAAAACUAUCUUUAUAAUUUACACUAUUCUUGUCCUUCAUUUUUAGUAAUGUAAUAUUAAUAAUUUGUCCCUCAUAUUUGUGAUAUAUCUAAGUGUUAUUUUUGUCUUGCAACAAAUUCAAUUCGUUGCCGGACAAUGACAAUAAAUUUAAUGCUAAUCAUAACAAUUUCCAACUACAUCUUUGUUUGUUUUGUAUGCAAUUAUUAAUUUUAUUUGUUAAGAUUUCGGUGAUCGAAGACCAAUAUUAUGAAAUUAUUAUUUUAUGUUAGGCAGGAUUUAGAAGUACUACUUGUUAUUCACCGAUUUAGAAGUGCAGAAUAGGAUAAUAUUGCAGCACUUGGAUGUGUAAGAAAUGGCUUUUACUUAAUUCAAUAUUUGUAUACAGUGGUACUUUCUAAACUAUAAGAGCAUCUCCAAUGACGUUAGCUAUAAUUGUUGGCUAAAUUGGACCUGUAAGACAUUAUGUAAAAUUUGCUGAACCUGUAAGACAUUGUGUUUCAAUGGUAUUGGCUAUAUUGGUUGGCUAUGAUUUAAAAAUAGUAUGUUAUUAAUAUUUAGAUGUUAUAAAUAAAAUAUAUCAGUUUAAUAUGUUAAUUAAUAAUAUUUAAUUAGCAGGAAGGAGGAAAAUAAAUUGCGGGAAAUGACGUGGAAUUCACUACAGAUCUGUAGUGGUUCGACAAAUAUAGCUAUACAUAGGAGGAUGGCUAUAAUUAUACAUAAGGGCUUGUUGUGGUUGGAGUUAAUUUUUUAUGAAUAUUGGCUAUAAAAUUUAAUUUUGGAAAGCCACCUAGAUUUUUAGCUAAGGGCUUGGAAGGGUUGGAGAUGCUCUAAGCAAGAUAUAAAUUCUUUUGUCUGGCUUUGAUUCUAAUAAUUUUAAGGCAAACAAUACAUAAUUCAGUUGUAAAACCAGGUCAAAUUUAAAUUUGCAAGAACCGAACAUCUUUUGGUCUGCAGUCCAGUGGCAGAAGUCUCUUUACCAAGUUCCACACACUGUCGACCAAAUUUUCUUUCCAAAAAGAAAUGAGUGGUGACUUGCAUUUCUUCGCCCUCUAUUGACCGGAACCUUGUUGACAAGUUUGCAUAUCAACUUAGUCCUCCCCUUAUUCCUGUUUCGUGUGGCAAAAUAUUAGAACUUUAAAAGUUAAAUAAUUUAGUAUUAGAAUUGUGUUCUAAAAUAAAUAAAACAUUAGCCUGAACAGGUCCUGUGCUAUUGAUAAUGGAGCCAUCAAGCUCUGUUAUAUGAUAAGAUUUAAAAUAGAAUCGGAGUUGAUGCUAAAAUCUAACGAUGAAGUUUGGGAGGGAAACGGAUAACAGUGGUUGGGUCUGAGAGGGGAAUCAGUUGCUUCAAUCAAGAGUUUGCUGAUACAAUCAAUUACCACCAAAAUCUCAUGAAAAUCACUACGAAUAAGAAAGAGAUUUAGUUGCUGUAUAAAUAUAAUAAUGCUAAUAAUAUGUUUAUCUAGGAGCUAUAGCUGUCACACUGCAGUAGUUGGCUGAACACGAUGAAGAGUCUCCUUCGUGCACAUUCCUCUCGAUGAAAAAUCCUGGUUGCUUAGGUUGAGGCAGGGGAAGCUCACUGGUUAGCAUUAGCACCGCCGUUGCCAUGGUCGGCCUGUCUGCUGGAUAUUGUUGCACACAUAAUAACCCUAUUUGAAUAGCUCGAAACACUUCGUAUUGAUGUUCAGGGCUUAAAUUUUCAAUAACCUCAUCUACUAGGUCCAACGCGUUUCCAUCCAUAUAGGUUCUCCAUGACUAAAACAGUGGAAAUUUAGCGAUGAGUUCAAUUAGUAAAACAUAAGUAAUGACCAUUUUACUACUUUAUAUGAUGGUCCAGAAACUUACAUGUCCUAGAAAGUUAAGAUUGUGAUCUAGAUGAGUAAAAUUUUUGUUUCUUUUUCCGUUCACCGUCUCUAAAAUUAGUACCCCAAAGCUAUAAACAUCAGAUUUCACCGAAAAUAUGCCAUCCGCUGCAUACUCAGGAGACAUGUAACCACUGCAAGAACAUCUGAUCUAUCACAUUUUUGCUAAUAGAAACAUUAUUUCUUAGAAUGCAAGAUAUUCUUACUAUGUUCCAACUACUCUGGUUGUAUUGGCUCCUGUUUCCGUCUCUCCGCAGAUCCUUGCUGUGCCAAAAUCUGAAAUUUUUGGGUUCAUCUCAAGAUCGAGCAAAACAUUGCUGGCUUUAAGAUCCCUGUGUAUGAUCCGCAAUCUAGAAUCCUGAUGAAGAUAGAGAAGUCCCCUGGCGAUGCCAAUAAUGAUGUUAUACCGAGUAGGCCAGUCAAGCGUGUAUCUUUUCGUCUUAUCUAAUGAAAAGGUCAUUAAAGUUAAUCCAGUGCUGUGAAAACAAGGUGAAAAUUAUAUGAUUCAAAAAUUAAUACAUGAUCACUGUAACAGAGAAGAAGUAUACCAAAUAUGAACGAGUCCAGGCUUUUAUUGGGCAUGUAUUCGUACACCAACAUUCUUUCCCCGUCCUGCACAGAGCAGCCGAGAAGCUUCACAAGGUUUCGGUGCUGAAGUCGAGCAAUGCAUGAAACUUCAUUUUUAAACUCUUUCAACCCUUGCCUCGAAUCCUUUGAAAGCCUCUUUACAGCUAUUUCUUUUCCAUCGUCCAGCAUACCCUAAAACAAAUCAAUGAGAAACUGUCAUCUUCUGUAUUGGGAUAAAAUGACAUUUUCUUUCGUCAAUCACUCUAAUCAAGAAGCAAAAUCAUGGACCACGAGCUACACAUCAUAUAAUUUAUGUUUCUGAUUUCAUAAACAGUAAUUUUAUUUCUUGGGUUCUAUACGAUUAAGUUGACUUUUACCUUAUAGACAGGCCCAAAGCCACCUUCUCCAAGCAUGGAGUAUUUUGAGAAGCCAUUGGUUGCAAUAUCUAAGGUUGUGAAGUCAAACAAUGGCAACUCUAAAUCCUCGGCACCCAUCUCAUUGCUCCCACCGUUUGCAAAAUACGGGUUUUUUAUCCCUGCGAUUUCCAUGUGCAAACUCAUACAGUAAAGUAAAGUAAAAGCAUAAACUUGGAAAUUCGAAAGAACACUGAAUUCUUGUAAUACCUUCUCUGUGCUUCUUCUUCUUUUUGUUCCUGAUUACCCACAGGCCUACACACAUCAUUGUUACCGUCAUCAGAAUAGCUAUCAAAACGAACCAUACUUUGGAUCUUCCUUUUUUAGCUUCACAAUCAACCAGAAAGUAUAUCAAUAUACUAGAUUCAACAAAAGAGGGAAAGACAUAUAUGUAAUAAGCAGCGCUGAAACAGUUAGUAAAUGAAAACACUCAGAAUACCUAAUUCAGAUGCAGCCAUUCUUAUGUAAAGAUCUUGACCAUUCUCUUUCUGAUAUCUAAUAUCAAUAAGCUCAUUAAACCAUAACAAGCAUCCGCUUCCACUGCCUCUUAACAUCUGUAUUUGCAUAAGCUGUGCAUGAGCAAUUGGUCAAGCACAUUUUCUCGCACUCACCAAGGCUCAUAUUCUUAUCAAACCAAGAACGCUGAGUAUCUGGUAAUUUCAAGCCUGAAUGUUUAACAAAUCCAUCUCCAUUCUGACAACUCAGUUUUUCUUUCCUUGCACAGCCACUAGACCAGUCUGCAGCAUCCCAUCCAUUUUUAUCUUUUGGCUGAAAACCAUUGAAGCACAUACACACAGGAGAAGUGUUAAUGUUACAGCUCUCAUAAGCCCCACAUACGCUAUAAUAAUCACAAUCAUCUAUUGGUGGAGAAGAAUAAGGCUGCCAAAUUUGAGAUUUUUCAAUCCAUACCCAUCUUUGUAUAUGACCAGAUGGAUUCAACACCCUCCGUGUAUAAACUGAACUAUUAACAGCUUCGUAAAUAUAAUAUAAGUCCUUAUCGUUAGAAACAAAAUCAUACUUGUAAAUUGGGUUGGGGCUCAAGUUGGGCGUGCCAGAAAAUCUAAGGCCAUUCCAAGGCCCAGCACGUGAAUCUAUAGCGGAACCUUUCCUUAUCAUUUGCUGUGGAAAGCCAUUACGUUCAAUAUAAUUUGUAUAUUCACCUGGAGAUGGAUCAUCAAGACUCCUCCAAGAAGUGAGGGGUCUUUCUAGCCCAGUUUCCAAAUUCCACCCCAGCUUAGCACCCGGUAAUUCAGUGUCGCCAGGUUUAUCAAAACUUUGCCACAGGUACUUGUCACUCUCACUUUCUUCUCUAAUGACAAGAUUCCCAGAAUCCAGCAGCUGCACGACAGGAUUAGUCACAGAUGCUGUGGAGUUUGAUGACCAAACUACGUCAUCAGAAGCAUUGAGAAUGACAAGAUUUCCGUUGCUGUUAAGUCUCAAGAGAUUUGAUGUAGUAUUGAGAGGAGCUUCUCUGUUGGCAAUCCACACAAUUGUCUUUUCCGCUAUCUUCUUGUACCAUAUACCCACAUACCGAUUAGCGGAACUCCCAACAGUUACAAAGCCAAGCUCGAAAUGAGCAGCAGAUGAAACAAUAGUGCUUCCAUCAUCUCUAAGGAUUUGGUUGGGUCCUAUUAUGUCUCCGGCUGCUGCUACAGUACAGUUUAGUGAAACUGAAAAUAACAAAACAGUUUAGUGAAACUGAAAAUAACAAAAUGCAGAAAAAGAAAAGCUUCAAAACUGUGGCAGAGCUGCAGCCUUCCAUUAACUUUGUAAUAUUCUUUCACUUGUUGCUCAGAGAGAGAUAAAAAAUCAACCGUCGUCUCCUUGAUNCAACACCCUCCGUGUAUAAACUGAACUAUUAACAGCUUCGUAAAUAUAAUAUAAGUCCUUAUCGUUAGAAACAAAAUCAUACUUGUAAAUUGGGUUGGGGCUCAAGUUGGGCGUGCCAGAAAAUCUAAGGCCAUUCCAAGGCCCAGCACGUGAAUCUAUAGCGGAACCUUUCCUUAUCAUUUGCUGUGGAAAGCCAUUACGUUCAAUAUAAUUUGUAUAUUCACCUGGAGAUGGAUCAUCAAGACUCCUCCAAGAAGUGAGGGGUCUUUCUAGCCCAGUUUCCAAAUUCCACCCCAGCUUAGCACCCGGUAAUUCAGUGUCGCCAGGUUUAUCAAAACUUUGCCACAGGUACUUGUCACUCUCACUUUCUUCUCUAAUGACAAGAUUCCCAGAAUCCAGCAGCUGCACGACAGGAUUAGUCACAGAUGCUGUGGAGUUUGAUGACCAAACUACGUCAUCAGAAGCAUUGAGAAUGACAAGAUUUCCGUUGCUGUUAAGUCUCAAGAGAUUUGAUGUAGUAUUGAGAGGAGCUUCUCUGUUGGCAAUCCACACAAUUGUCUUUUCCGCUAUCUUCUUGUACCAUAUACCCACAUACCGAUUAGCGGAACUCCCAACAGUUACAAAGCCAAGCUCGAAAUGAGCAGCAGAUGAAACAAUAGUGCUUCCAUCAUCUCUAAGGAUUUGGUUGGGUCCUAUUAUGUCUCCGGCUGCUGCUACAGUACAGUUUAGUGAAACUGAAAAUAACAAAACAGUUUAGUGAAACUGAAAAUAACAAAAUGCAGAAAAAGAAAAGCUUCAAAACUGUGGCAGAGCUGCAGCCUUCCAUUAACUUUGUAAUAUUCUUUCACUUGUUGCUCAGAGAGAGAUAAAAAAUCAACCGUCGUCUCCUUGAUUAAUGUCAUAUAUGUAAUAUCGGUUUUUCUAGUGUGUGCCCAUGGACAUACACUAAGCACCAAAUUUUAUAAAUUUGGUGGAUUUUGAUUGGCUCAUGCUUCUUUAUAAUGGUGGACCCCCCUGCAAAUUCACCAACCACACCAAUCAAAAUCCACCAAAAUUAUAGAUUUUGGUGCUUAGUGUGUGCCCAUGGGCACACACUAGACAAACCCAUGUAAUAUAAACAUUGAAUUCUAUCUUAGGCAAAUUCCAAGUGUUUGCUUUAUUUAUGACUGCUAUCUGCAUGACUUGAAUCCUACAGCUGACUAUGUAAAAUUAUUAUGAAGUCACCAUGCUGCACUCAGUAAAAUAAUACCUCCAUCAUAUCUCAGCACCAAAAACUCAGCCCAACAGAUUGAAUGCGAUCUUAUAUCUUAUGAAAUAUGAACUGUGAAUUCUAUCUUAUAUCUUAUGAAAAUUUCAAGUAUUUUUUUUAUUUCUGACUGUUAUCUGCAUGACUGAAUCCUGCGGUUGACUAUGUAAAAUUGCAUUCUCAAAGAGUUAAAUAUCCGGUAGGUGACUGUUUCGUCUAAAAAAUUCAAGCAGAUUUUUGACUCAAACUGGUCAUCACUUAACUUAAUUUAUUUAUGCCGAAAAUCGAAGAUUGAAUUACCCAAAAUUAAAAAAUGAUAAAAUAGGAGGGUAAAGCUGGUCAAUAUGAUUACUAAAAUUUGCUAAUUGGCUCACAGAAUCAUGGUUAAAUCAGGUUUUGAUUCCUUGAAACCUCAAAAAUAGGGAAAAUCAAAGCCAGAUUUUACCAUGAUUCUAUGAGUCAUAUAGCAAGUUUUAGUAAUCAUAUUGAAGUUUCUAUAUUAACAUUUUUCAAUUUUGGGUAAUUUCAAUUUUUUACUUUAACGGAAUGAUCAAAUUAAAUUGAUUAAUGAUUAGUUUGAGUCAAUUUUAUGAUGAUUGGCCUAAUUGAAUUUUUUGGGCCAAUAAAUCCCCUGCUUGAUUUCAGAAUACAUACAUAUAUUUGAAUAAAUCCUUAUUUUCUUCGAAUAACACUUGCCAAACAUGCCCAAAAUAUAAAUUACUAAAAUACAAAUAAAUCAUUGAUUGAAUCUUUUUCACUGACGUUGCAUAAUAUAGCAAAAAUUUAUUAGUAGAGAUCUCAAACAAAUAAUUCGGAUUCGGAUUUGUCUAUAUCCGCAUCUGGAUUCGAAAAUUCAUAUGUGUGACUAGAUCCGAAUCUGAAUUUUUUAAAAAGUAAUAUCCGAAUCUAGAAAUACAUAUGGAAACACACACUAUAAUAUGAAUACAUAUGGAAACACACACUAUAAUAUUAUAUAUAAUUAAUUUCGGAUUUAGAUAUUAUGAGAUAAGAAAUAAAUAUGCCUAUAUUUAUAUUCAUAUCCGGAUUAAUCGGAUGCGAAAAUAUCCAUUUUGUCUCAAUUAUAAAUAAUAUCCAUUUUAUCUCAGAUAUUACAAACGGAUAUCAGGUUAUUUGGACCAGCUAUUAGAGCAUCUCCAACGGCGUUGGCUAUAAUCGUUGGCUAAAUGGGACCUGUAAGACAUUAUGUAAAAUUUGUUGAACGUGUAAGACAUUUUGCUUCGAUGGUAUUGGCUAUAUUGGUUGGCCAUAAUUUAAAAAUAGUAUGUUAUUAAUAUUUUAGAUUGUUAAAAUAGAAUAUAUCAGUUCAAUAUGUUAAUAAAUGAUGUGCAAUCUUUCUACAGAUUUCUUACAGACCUGUAGAGGUUCGACAAAAUUAGUCAUCCAUAGGAUGUUGGCUAAAUUUAUAAAUAAUAGCUGAGCAUGGUUGGAGUUGAAUUUUUUGAACUAUUGGCUAAAUUUUUUUUAUUUUAAAUAUGCCAACUCACUUUUUGGCCAAGGGUUUUCAAUGGUUGGAGAUGCUCUUACUUGACUUUAAUAUUGGUAGACACUACUCCCUCCGUUUCUUUAUUCUUUUCCUGUUUGUGAUGUUGAUACUGUUUAUAACAUGAGACACAUUAUUGAAUUACAUCUAAUCUACAAGACUAAAUAUAAUCGUGAGUGAUCUUGUUGGAUUGGUAUUCACGAGUACUUUAAUACGGUGAAAUUUUAAUAUUUAAUGCUAAUAUGAAAUUGAAGAUAGUAACAAUGUGUUGGCAAACGUGAAAAACACGUACAUGAAAAGUAUUAACAGACGGAGGGAGUACUAUAUAGUGCUACAUUCUAAGCUGUAAGCAAGAGUUAUACUCCCUUCGUCCAACCAGAAAGUUUACGUACACUGUUUGCACGCAUUUUGAGGAUCUCGUAAAGUAUAGUUCUAUAACGUUUUUUUAAUUUCUUUUCUUUUUCUGAAUAAAAGUUUAAACUUCAAACCUUUUUUCAGGAUUUUUUUAAAUAAUAAAAACAUUANAUUUUUUUAAAUAUAUAUAUAUAUAUAUAUAUAUAUAUAUAUAUAAUGUACGUAUAUUUUGUAAGAUCCUUAAAAUGCAUGUUAAAGUAAAGAAACUGAUGGGACGGAGGGAGUAUUCUUUUUGUCUACUAGUUGAGAAGCCGCGCGUUGCGGCGGCCUAUAAAAAAUAUAUUAGUGAUUCAAUAUUAAUAUUUGUAGAAUGCAAUAAUUUUAUUACUAUCUAUAAAAAGUAUAUUAAUGAUUAAAAAUUAAAAUUCGUAGGAUAAAAUAAAUUUUAUAUUAUAAAAAUCUUGAUGUAAUACCAAUACUAAUAUAUAAAAUUGCAAAAUUAGACUAUAAUUCAUGUUGAAAAAAUGAAAAUAAAUUUCUACACGCAAUUAACAAUUUAAAGCACAAUGAAUCUUAAUUUUAUUUGUGUUUUUUUUUUAAAAGUGAUCAUGUUCUUACAUUGUCACCCUCCUCCAAUUUUUUUGGAUUGAUUGUGCACAAAAACAUCUAACUUAAAUCCGUGAGAUAGCGGUCUAUAACUACCCUUGCUUGUAACAAGCUUUAUUUUUUAAUACUGUAUAAACAGUCUUCACUUAAUAGUUGCUUGAACGAAGCAAACAGAUAAUGCAUGAAUAAUAUCUUCCCGUGUACAAAAUAAAUCAUAUAAAAAGUAACAACAACAAACAUGUGCGAUGAACAAAACAAAUAUUAUAGAAGAAUAACCAACAAACAUAUAUCACUAAUAGUUAAAUUAUUGAUAUUAUCCAUCAAUAUCAUGUCAACACUAUAUUCUUCUCCCGUGUUUGGAUUUGUCGACUCCCAUAUAGCUGUCUAUAACUACCUUUGUUUGCAACAACCUUUUUUUUAAUACCGCAUAAACAGCCUUCACUUAUCGUUGCAGAAGAACGGCACCACCGAGUUAGAAAUCGAGCAAGAGAACUAUCACCAGAGAGAGGUAAGGUUGUGUUUAGAUGAUCCAAAACACUACAACCUACGGGGGUAUUUAUAGGUGCAGAGAGACUUGUGCGCUACUAUUUCCCAUAAUUAAAUUAUCUGAAACAAAAUCAGAUUAAAACUUUCAAGCCGCUAUAUUCCAUAAAUAAUCUGAAACAAAAUCAGAUUCUGAAACUUACUUCUAAUAUCCGAAACUAAAAAAGGUAAUUAUAAUUUUUGAUAUUUUUCAUUCGAAAAUUCCAGAAAAUUAGAAAAAUAGAACGGAGCGAUGUGAGAGGGGCCACCUCCACGCCCCUCGCUUCUCCUUUAUAUAGAAACAAAAUCAAAUUAAAACCUUAAAGCUACUAUAUUCCAUAAAUAAUCUGAACAAAAUCAGAUUCUGAAACUUGCUUCUAAUAUAUCCAAAACUUAAAAAAGUAGUUUUAAUUUUUGAUAUUUUUCAUCCAAAAAUUGCAGAAAAUUAGAUAAUAAAACGGAGCGAUGUGAUCCAAAAAUUCCAGAAAAUUAGAAAAAUAGAACGGGGCGAUGUGAAAGGCGCCAUCUACGCGCCCCUCGCUUCUCCUAUAUAUAAGAAUAUUGACCAGCAGACGUCUCUUCCUGACUGUUACUAUUGUGAAUAGUAAGGAUAGCUUGGACACUAGUCAGCAGGGAUCAAAAGCAAACAAUGUGCUUACUCUUACUGUGUAAAAGCCUCAGCAUAAAGCAAAUAUACAGUUGGCAGUUAACUCUCAAAUUUGUAACAAACUAUUGAGUAGUGUGUGGUGUUAGUUACAGUCAACUCAUGUGUUGACUCAUAGUGCUAUAAAUAGUCUUGAGUGGUGCUCUGUAAACUCAACUUUUCUAGCAAUAUAUUUUCUUUUUUCUUUUUUUUUUUUUUUGCAGAAAAGAAAAUAUAUUGCUAGAAAAGUUGAGUUUACAGAGCACCACUCAAGACUAUUUAUAGCACUAUGAGUCAACACAUGAGUUGACUGUAACUAACACCACACACUACUCAAUAGUUUGUUACAAAUUUGAGAGUUAACUGCCAGCUGUAUAUUUGCUUUAUGCUGAGGCUUGUACACAGUAAGAGUAAGCACAUUGUUUGCUUUUGAUCCCUGCUGACUAGUGUCCAAGCUAUCCUUACUAUUCACAAUAGUUACUCCCUCCGUCCCAGCCAAUUCUUUACGUUUGGUUUGGGCACGGAGGUUAGGAAAUAUGUAUAAAGUAGUGGAAAAGAGAAGGAAAAAUGGGUGAAGUGGUGGGACCCAUCAAUUUUUAAUGUAUAAAAGAGAGAUAGUGGAGUAAAAGUAGUGUGAAAAGGGUGUAAAAGUAGUGUGAAAAGGAAGGAAAAGUUGGGAAGUGGUGGGACCCAUUUACUAUUUUUGGUAAGUUUUGAAAUGUAAAGAAUUGGAUGGGACAUCCCAAAAAGGAAACUGUAAAGAAUCUGGUGGGACGGAGGGAGUACCAAGUUCCACACAUUGUCGGCCAAUUUUUCACCCCAAAAAUUAAUGAGGGGGUGACUUACAUUUCUUCGCCCUCUAUUGACCGGAACCUUGUUGACAAGUUUGUAUAUCAAUCUCGUCCGCCCAAUAUUCAUGUUUUGUUUUGCAAAAUAUCAAAACUUUUAAAACUGAAAUUAUAAUAUUAAAAUCGGUUUCUCUAUGCACACAAUAAGCACAAAAUUUGAAUACUUUUCUUUCUUUUGAUUGACUUACAUCUCUUUAAUAAUGAUGGCUCUCCCUGCAUUCACACCAACCACCAAUCAAAACAUACCAAAUUUAUAAGUUUUCCAUGUGCCCAUGCACACACUGGACAAACCGUAUUGAAAUUACUUAAAAGUAAGCUUGUGCUCCCGAAAAGUAAGGAGACUUUAUGUGAGUAGUAUAUACUCCAAGAGAUUCGAGUUGUGAUAGAUUGGCAUAUUGUCGUCCACAGGUGUAAAUUGAUUAACCAGGGCUCCGAAGUAAAUUGGUAAAUGAGGGCUCUGCUUCUGGAGCAACUUGAAUAUGAUAGGGGCUGUUUGGUUAGAGGUAACUGACAAAAGGAAAGGGAAACAAUCCGUUGCCUUCCUUUUGUUGUUGUUUGUUUCAUGAAAUCUGUCAUUUUCUUUCGCUUGUUUUGAUUUUAGGUUUACCCCAAAUCCCCUGAUCCAUUCCCCACUCCCCAGGUAUUUCUUUUCCCUUUCCUGAUUCUUCUUUUAUUUUCAAUUAUAAUUUAUUUCAAAAAUCAUUAACAUUAAAAAAUAAUAUGUAAAAUAUUUUUGAAGAUCAAAAAUAAAUUUUAUUUUAGUUUUUACAUAUUAAAAAUUAAUGAAAUUUUUAAAUAAUAAAAUAUAUCAAAUUAUAAACGUAAAUAUAUUUGACUCUUUUGAUAUUAUUUAAUAUUUAAAAAUCAAAUAUAGAAAUAAUCAUAUAAUUUUUCAUUCCGUUUCCGGAUCAAAACCAAACAAUUAAUACAAUUCAGCAUCAUUCCUUUCCUUUCUUUUUGUUUCCCUUUCUGAAUCCCAUUCCGUUUCCUUAACUCGAACCAAACGGCUUAACAAAAGAAACCCCCAAGUUUUGUAAUAAAUAUAUAUUUAUAGCUAUAUAUUUUUUUAACUACAUAGUUAUGUUGUUUUAGAAAUUUUCAACUUAUUUUGAUAAAUACUAGAGACAAUUAUAAAAGUACUCGGAGUGAUUUUAUAAUAAAAAAAUAAUCCGUUGAUUUUUAUAAAUGAUAAAAUAAAGAAGUAUGAACAGUGAAAUGGGUAAAAUGAUAUAUCUUUGGCAUAUAUUAGUUUAAAUGAGCUUUGAUGAGAUGGGUGGGUAAGUAAUCAAGUGAUAUAUUUUGACGUAAUGGCGGCAAGUUUGAUAUAAAACCGCUAGAAGAGCUACUACAUUGGAAUAAAUGCAUACUCAAUUGUGAAAUCACCAUGAUGCACUCAGUAAAAUAACACUAUCAAAUUACUUAGACCAACAGUCUCUUACAGAUCCUUGCCAGGCCAAAAUUUGAAAUUUUCGGGUUCAUCCCAUAAUUUUACUUGCUUGCUAGAAAAAACACACCAUCAUCCUUUUCAUUUACUAGAAAAAAAAGAGACCGUCUUUUAUGUACUCUAGACACAUGUAUCCACUGCAUUAUAAUUUUUUGCAUUAAGAAAUUUGGAUUAUAAUGUGAAUACAUAUCAAUGUAUUAAUUUAUCUGGGCUUCUCUACUGUUUAUCCAAAAUCAGGAAUUUUAAUAAGGAAAAAAAAAAGGGCAGUCAAGUAGUGUGGUACUCCCUCCGUCGCAUUGGGAUGUAUAGGUUCACUGUUAAUGCACCGGAAAAACCUGUAGAUAAUAAAUCAUGCCUAAGGGCGUGGACAAGAAAUUUAUGUGGUAAAUUCAAUCCGGAUUUUAAAAAUUAUUCCAUUCAUAUGAAAUUAUGAACUAAUUAAUCUAAUUUAGUAUUCACUAAAUCAUUCCAUUGAUAUGAACGAGAAUUAGACUUGUGUUACUAAAUAAAUAAGAAACAUUAGCAUGAACCGGCUUUUUACCAUCAAUCAUGGAUCCAAGCUCUAUUACAUGAUACUCCCUCCGUUUCAAAUUGGAUGUUCACCUUCACAAAAUCACACGGUUUAAGAAAAUUAUAUGUUCAUAAAUUAAUUACAAUCAUAAUAUGUGGAAUGAAGUUAAAUUUAGGAAAUACAAAUAAGAUAUAUGUGAAUUUGAAAAUAUAAUUUUACAUUGAAAGUUGAAGUGGACAGCUAAAUUGAAACAAUUUUUUUUCAUAAAAGUUCUGUCAAAAAGAAACCUUAAAAUAGAUAUGUAAAUUGGAACGGAGGGAGUAAGAUUUAAAAUAUAAUCAAAGUUAAUGCUAGAAUCUAACAAUGAACUUUGGGAAGGAAACAGUGCUUGGUUUGAGAGGGAAAUCAGUUGCUUCAAUCAAGAGUUUGUUGAUACAAUCAAUUACAACCAGAAUCUCAUGAAAAUCACUUGGAAUAAGAAAUUGAUUUAUUUGCUGUACUGUGAAUAUAAACAUAUAAUAAUGCUAUAAUAACACAUUGUUUCUCUCUUUCGUUUUGGACUUUGAAAUAUUAAAAGCGGCAAUCAUAAUUUAUAUUUUUUAAUAGAAUAAAAACGAGAAAUAAUAUGUUUAUCUAGGAGCUAUAGCUGUCACACUGCAGUAGUUGGAUGAACACGACGAAGAAUCUCCUUCGUGCACAUUCCUCUCGAUGAAAAAUCCAGGUUGCUUAGGUUGAGGCAGGGGAAGCUCACUGGUUAGCAUUAGCACCACCGUUGCCAUGGUUGGCCUAUCCGCCGGACAUUGUUGCACACAUAAUAACCCUAUUUGAAUAGCUCGAAACACUUCGUAUUGAUGUUCAACCCUCAGGGAUGACGCUCAUCACUGGUUCAAGAGGCUUCCCGAAUAGCUCGAAACACUUCGUAUUGAUGUUCAGGGCUUAAAUUUUCAAAAACCUCAUCUACUAGGUCCAACGCAUUUCCAUCUAUAUAGGUUCUCCAUGCCUAAAACAUUUGGAAAUUUAGCGAUGAGUUCAAUUAGUUGUCACAUUUCAAUUUUUGUUGGUCAAAUUGACUAACUUUUCAUCAAAGAUAGUCACUCUUUCAUUAUUUUAAAAAACUGAAAAUUACAUGUAGAUUAAAAGUUAUUCCCGAUGACAUAUUUUUUUUAUUUUUGUAAUUGAUAAAAUAUUAAUAAAUUUCAAUCAAACUUUGGUCAAUUUGACCGACAAAAAACUAAAGUGACAACUAAAAAGGGACGGAGAGAGUACUUUAUAUGAAGGUCUAGAAACUUACAUGUCCGAGAAGGUUAAGAUUGUGAUCUAGAUGAGUAAAAUUUUUGUUUCUUUUUCCAUUCACCGCCUCUAAAAGGAGUACCCCAAAGCUAUAAACAUCAAAUUUCACCGAAAAUAUGCCAUCCGUUGCAUACUCAGGAGACAUAUAACCACUGCAAGAAUAUCUCAUGUAUCACAUUUUUGCUAAUAGAAACAUUAUUUCUUAGAAUGCAAGAUAUUCUUACUAUGUUCCCACUACUCUGGUUGUAUUGGCUCCUGUUUCCGUCUCUCCACAGAUCCUUGCUGUGCCAAAAUCUGAAAUUUUUGGGUUCAUUGAUAAAGUAUAUAUUUAUAUAUAUUUUAGAUGAUAAUUGUUCUCAUAUUAGUUAUAUUUUGCAUUCAAUUGGACAUAUAUUAAUUAUAUUUUAAUAUCUUAUUGUAGGGAGCAAGGAAUUCUAAAUUGGAGAGGAUUUGGAGCAAAUUAGAAGAAAAUUCGCAACUAUUGGGCUACCCGCAUUCGGAAUAUUGUUUGGGCCAUAUCUUGAGUUUUAGAAGUCGGAUUUGGGCGAUUCAACAGCUCACGCGAAGAUAAUAUAAUUUUCUAUCAUUCUAGAUGGGUCCAGAUAUCAAAAGCCCGCUGAAACAGCCCAGGAACAGGGGAGAAAGUCAACUGCGAAUUUUGACCUUUUGGAAACCCAUUCAGUUUCGGAAUUGCCUUGUAUAUUCCUAUUAGAAUAAAAACACUUUUGUAUUAGGUUUUAUUAGAUAGAGAAUUACAUACGUGCUACUGAGGAGAGCCACGGAGAAGAAGAGAAAGGAUCGGUAUUCUGUAUCGAUUUCUAUUCUUUUUAUGAUUCUUAUGUGUUUUACUAUGAUUAUGAUUGGCUAAACCUCGAUUGUUGGAGGGCUGUUUUGAAGCCCUAAACUUUAUGACAAUGAUAUUUUGAUUUUCCGAGAUAUGUUCUUGAUUGCACUUAUAUAUACGUCAAUGCUUAUAGAUAUUCUUGAAUUAACUGUGGUAUGUGGACAUCCAAUUCAGUUAUGUGAUUGAUAUAUCUGUAAAGUCAAUUAAUCUUUCUAUGUGGUCCAUGGGAUUAAUUGUAUCAGUGUGUAAUCUGUUUAGCCUUUCUAUGUGGUCCAUGGGGUUAUGCGGAUAGCAGAGCUUGUUUCUAUGUGGGCCAUGACAAGUUCUCUAUAAGUGUCUUUCAGUACAUAUCAUAAGGGUUUCAGAGUAUGUCAUGGGUUUAGUGGUGGAUUAAUAUGCUUUCCAACAUGCUUCUUUAAUUGUUAAAAACACAUUUGCUUUAGUUUAAUAAUUAGUUUAAUUAAUAGAUAAAACAAAAUCCAAUCGUUAUUUCUUUGCAAAAUAUAAGUUAAGUGAGCCCUUGAUUCCUGGCGUUGAACGAUACCCUUACUUAUUCUAUAUUAUUAUCGGCAGAAAAAGGGUUUAAAUUGAGUCACAUCAAUUUUUGGCGCCGCGCCGCCGGGGAUUGAAAUUCACUUUGCUUUUGUUUUGUAUUAAUUUUUGUCGUUGUGGUUUAAACGGUUUGUGUUUUCAGGUACAUGGUCAAAACCCGUACAUCUGAAGAACCUCUUGAACCGUUUGAAGAUAAUCCUGAGAAGCUCUUUCGUAAGAAGAGCGAGACUGAAAAAGAUCAAUUAGACAAGAAAAGUGGAGGGAAGCUCAUUGUAGUCGAUAUGGCUAUGGUACCUACACUUCGUGAUGAUGUUGCUGUUUCGGUUGCUAAUAUUGGCCAUUCAUGUAUGGUCUAUCCCAAUCCUGCUGUGGGGAAAAGCAACAGUUUUGAAAUCAAGCAGAAUUUGCUCAUGAGACUACCUGUCUUCCAUGAUCUUCCAACUGAGGAACCUAAUCAACAUCUCUCUAGGUUCGUGACUAUUGUGGAAAGCAUGGGACCUGACAUGGCAGACCCUCAAAUUCUGAAGAUGAAGGCUUUUCCAUUCUCUCUUGACGGAUCAGCUCUUGACUGGCUAGAAGAAUUGCCAGUGGGUUAUAUUACUUCUUGGGAGAAAUUGGCCCAGGAAUUCUUGCAGAAAUUCUAUCCGGCAACUCGAGUCAUGAACAUGAGAAGCCAAAUAGCUGGAAUUCAUCAAAAUGCCACUGAAACUUAUGCUGAAUAUUAUGCAAGAUUCCAAAAGCUGCAAAAGAGAUGCCCACAACAUGGAUUUUCUAAGGGGAGUCUUCUUCAUUUUUUCUAUCAAGGUCUUCAUGAAGGUGAAAAGAAACUCUUAAAUUCAGCUGCUGGUGGUGCUUAUGUAGAUUUAUCUCAUGAUGCUGCGGAGAAACUAAUUGCUAAGGGAGCUGCUAAUGAACUUCAAUAUGGUAGUCGUGCAAGUUCUGGCACAACUCAGGGAGCUCAAUCUGAUCAAAGGCUCUCAAAUAUUGAGCAAAGUAUCGAAAAACUGAAUGCAUUAUUAUUGAGCGCUAAAACACCGACAGCUCAAGUAUGUGGUAUUUGUUCAACUCCGGGACAUUUUACUGAUGGUUGUCCUACAUUGGUUGAACCUACUUUUGAAGAUGUUAAUGCUGUUGGCUUUGGCAAUCAAGGAGCAAACCAAUUCUCUAAUACAUUCAAUCCAAGAUGGAAGGAUCACCCCAAUUUGAGGUACGGGAACACUAACAAUGUUUUGAAUGGGUUUCAAUUUCAAAACAAUUCUGCACCAUCUGGUUUUCUACAAAGGGGGCAAGUCCCUCAAAGCACGAACAAUGAUAACACUAUUGAGAAAUUACUGUCCAAGUUGGUGGAUGGGCAAACGGAAAUGCAAAAACAAUGCACUACCAAUUCUCAAGACAUUAGAGAGAUGCAGAAGCAACUUGGGGAUGUGAUAAAGAAAAUUAAUCAAGAACAUGAGCCUGGACGGUUGCCUGGAACUACACAACCAAAUCUGAAAUUCGAGCAUGCUAACAUCAUUACUACUAAGAGUGGCCGGAAUGUCAUUCCCACUCAAAAGGUAUUGGAAAAUCAGGUUGAUAAGCAUGGUAUCGAAAAAGACCCGGCAACUGAAAGAACUUCACACAACAAAUUGGUUGAAGAAAGUGAGAAUUCUCAAGCCAAGGAGGAUAGUCAUGAGAAUGAAGAUGGAGCUGAGAUUGUGCACAACAAUUCUGAGGAGAAACAUACUUCUCUAAUUUCUGGAAGUAAGUCUCUCAAACCUUCAAAUUCAGUUAUUACUAAUAGUCGCUUCGAUUCUGUCCCUUUCCCAGCUAGGUUGGUUCAGACAAAGAAGAGUGCAUUAGAGACAAAUAUUUUGGAGACUUUUCGCAAGGUUCACAUUAAUUUGCCUUUACUGGAGUGCAUUCAGAAUCUUCCAGCAUAUGCCAAGGUAUUGAAGGACUUGUGUACUAAACGAAGGAGGCUCAAGGGGAGUGAAGUUGUUGAGAUGAAGGAGAAUGUGUCUGCGGUUCUACAAGGAAGGUUACCAAGAAAGUGUAAGGAUCCAGGAAGCUUCACUAUUCCUUGCACCAUUGGUAAAUCUAAAUUUGAGAAUGCGUUACUUGAUUUGGGUGCGUCAAUUAAUGUUAUGCCAUCUAGCUUGUAUGAGAAAUUGUGUAUUAAAACUGAACUUAAAACAGAUGGUGUUACAAUUUUAUUAGCUGACAGAUCUCACGUUUACCCGAAAGGUGUUUUGGAGGAUGUUCUUGUGCAGGUUGGCAGGUUUCAAUAUCCGGCUGAUUUUUAUAUCUUAGACAUGGGAGAUGCGAAUAAUGCACAACUUAUUCUUGGUAGACCAUUCAUGUGUACCGCUCAAACAAGAAUCGAUGUUGCAAGGGGAGAGCUCAGUAUGGACUUUGAUAAUGAAACCAUCAAGUUCAACAUGUUUGAGAUGAUGCGAUAUCCCGUGGAUACUGAGACAUGCUUUACAAUGAGUACAACUGGUAGCAUGGCUCAAAAGUACUUCGAGCUGAUGAAAGAUGAUGUAUUAGAAACAGUGAUUUCUCAAGGCAUUGGUGUUAAUCAGGAGGGAAAUUCUCAAGCUCUUGAAGAGAUUUCUAUCAUUCAUAUAGAUGAAAUUCUAGAGCAAUGCAACGCCUUGCAAGGAGCAGAGAUUACAGGAGAACGGAAGUUUGUACUCCCUAAAACUUCUAGCGAAAAGCAGUUGCCGUCAGUUGUUCAAGCACCAAAAUUGGACCUUAAGCCAUUGCCUUCCCAUCUCAAGUAUGUUUUUCUUGGAAAAGACGAGACACUACCGAUCAUAAUCUCAUCAAAGCUCACAUCUGUGCAAGAAGAAAAAGUGGUGGAGUUGGUCCGCAAUCACAUCAAAGCUAUUGGUUGGAGUUUGGCGGAUAUUAGGGGAAUCAGCCCCACACUAUGUGUUCAUAGAAUUCACUUGGAAGAAGGUGCCAAACCUGUUAGAGUUCCUCAACGGCGACUCAAUCCUCCUAUGAUGGAGGUUGUGAAGAAGGAAGUCAUUAAGCUGCUAGACAAUGGGAUCAUCUAUCCAAUUUCUGACUCUAAGUGGGUUUCUGCUGUUCAUGUUGUUCCUAAAAAGUCUGGUAUUACAGUGGUAGCAAAUGAGGAGAAUGAGUUGGUGCCUCAACGUACAGUGACUGGUCAUCGUGUUUGUAUUGAUUACAGGCCUCUCAACAAUGCUACAAGGAAAGAUCAUUUUCCUUUGCCGUUCAUUGAUCAAAUGUUGGAAAGGUUAGCCGGUCAUGAGUACUAUUGUUUCUUAGAUGGGUACUCUGGAUAUAAUCAGAUUGCUAUAGCUCCAGAAGAUCAAGAGAAGACAACAUUUACAUGUCCUUUUGGUACAUUUGCCUUUAGACGCUUGUCUUUUGGUCAAUGUAAUGCCCCUGGAACGUUUCAAAGAUGCAUGAUGAGCAUAUUCUCUGAUUAUGUAGGAAAAAUUAUUGAGGUUUUCAUGGAUGAUUUCAGUGUCUUUGGAGAUAGUUUUGAUGAUUGCUUGAAGAAUUUGGGGGUUGUUUUGAAAAGAUGUGAAGAAACAAAUUUAGUGCUCAAUUGGGAAAAAUGCCACUUCAUGGUAACCCAUGGGAUUGUUCUUGGACAUGUGAUUUCUUCAAAAGGUAUUGAGGUCGAUAAAUCUAAAAUUGACUUGAUACGGUACUUGCCCACUCCGUCAAGUGUAAAGGAGAUUCGGUCUUUUCUUGGCCAUGCUGGUUUCUACAGAAGAUUUAUUCAGGACUUCUCUAAAAUAGCAAGGCCCUUAACUAAUCUUCUUCAAAAGGAUGUACUUUUCGAGUUCAAUGACGAGUGCAAGGUGGCAUUUGAGGAGUUAAAACUAAAGCUUACGUCAUCUCCUAUCAUACAGGCACCUGAUUGGAGCUUACCUUUUGAAAUAAUGUGCGAUGCCUCAGAUUAUGCUGUUGGAGCUGUACUUGGGCAACGUAAGGACAAGAAGGUGCAUGCUAUUUAUUAUGCUUCUAGAACUUUGAAUGAUGCACAACUCAACUAUGCUACCACUGAGAAAGAAUUGCUAGCUGUAGUCUUUGCUUUGGAAAAAUUUCGAUCAUACUUGUUUGGUACAAAGGUGAUUGUAUUUACUGACCAUGCAGCUCUUAAGUACUUGUUGGCCAAGAAGGAGGCAAAGCCACGACUUAUCCGUUGGAUCUUAUUACUACAAGAGUUUGACAUUGAAAUCAAGGAUAAGAAGGGAUCCGAGAAUGUUGUAGCUGAUCAUCUAAGUCGAUUGGUGAGGGAGGAAGAAGAUGUGCCCCUGACUGAGACAUUUCCGGAUGAACAACUUCUCCAGAUUCAGGUAAGUGCUCUUAAUGAGGUCACACCGUGGUAUGCAGACAUAGUGAACUAUCUGUUUGACAAAAGUCUGCCUACUACACUGACUCGUGCACAAAAAGAUAAGAUUAAACAUGAUUCGAAAUUUUAUGUGUGGGAUGAUCCGUAUCUCUGGAAGCAUUGUCCAGAUUUAAUAAUAAGGAGAUGUGUGCCUGAUAAUGAAUUUGAAUCUGUGUUGAAGUUUUGUCAUAAUUAUGCAUGCGGAGGACAUUUUGGAGGAAAAAGAACUGCACAUAAGGUGUUAGAGUGUGGUUUUUAUUGGCCUACAAUGUUUAAAGAUGCUCAAGAAUUUUGUAGGACUUGCGACAGAUGUCAGCGAGUAGGGAACAUUACUGCUAGGAAUGAGAUGCCCAUGAAUCCGAUGUUUAAUGUUGAAAUAUUUGAUGUUUGGGGUAUCGAUUUCAUGGGUCCAUUUCCGAAGUCUAAUGGUUUUGAAUAUAUACUUUUAGCUGUUGAUUAUGUGUCGAAGUGGGUGGAAGCUAAAGCCACCCGCACUAAUGAUUCGAAAGUGGUUUCAGAUUUCUUGAGGACUAACAUUUUUGCUAGGUUCGGGAUGCCAAGAGUGGUUAUCAGUGAUGGAGGGUCCCAUUUCUGCAAUAGGACCAUCGAGGCACUAUUUCGCAAGUAUAACAUCUCACAUAAAGUUUCUACACCUUAUCAUCCUCAAACCAAUGGACAAGCAGAGGUGUCUAACAGAGAAAUCAAGAAAAUUCUUGAAAAGACUGUAGGAUCUACACGGAAGGAUUGGAGUCAACAGUUAGAUGAUGCACUUUGGGCUUAUAGGACGGCAUACAAGACACCCAUCGGUAUGUCUCCUUAUCGCAUUGUUUAUGGUAAGCCUUGCCAUUUGCCAGUGGAACUUGAACAUAAGGCAUAUUGGGCUAUUAAGAAAUUCAAUAUGAGUCUUGAUGAGGCGGGGUUGCAUCGCAAGUUGCAAUUGUCUAAAUUGGAAGAACUACGCAAUGAGGCUUAUGAGAGUGCUCGUAUUUACAAGGAAAAGACAAAAGUGUUCCAUGACAAGAUGAUUCACAGGAAGAAUUUUGAGGUUGGACAGAAAGUUCUUUUGUAUCAUUCUCGGUUACGUCUUUUUCCUGGAAAACUACGAUCAAGGUGGAUUGGCCCAUUUGAAAUUGUUGAAGUGUUUUCACACGGAGCUGUGAGUAUUAAAAAAGAUGAUGGAAAUGUGUUUAAGGUGAAUGGACAUCGUCUUAAACCGUAUUUGGAGGAUCCUUCUAAUUAUAUCAAGGAGAGUGAGACUCUUAAUGAUGUGAUUAUCUCUGGUGCUUAAAUUCCGCGGCAUGAUGUCUAGCCAAAGACGUUAAAGAAAAGCGCUUCUUGGGAGGCAACCCAAGCAUUUUGUACGGUUAGUUAUAAUUUUAUUUUAAUUAUUAUAGUUCUUAGUAGUAAAAUUAUUAGUAUUAUAUUUGUAGAUUUGAACUUUUUAUUCCCGCAAGGUGCCUUGAUAAUUUUUGUGAAGUGUUUCAGGAAUUUUUAGUGAUGGCUUGGUCUGGAAAUAUUCAGGAAAAGAAAAAAAAAUUGAAGGCAGAUUUUAUUUGUUUCUGGAGCUCAGCUUCAAGUUUGUUUGAGGAACAGAAUCUGAAUACCGCCGUUUUCAUUAACCAAGACGGGCGUUUUCAUCAACUGUCCAGCUCUCGAAAUUAUAUUUUUUUUCCUGACCACUUAAGUUUUUCUCGCGCGCAUCCAUUUCCAAGCAGAUUGGCUGCACCGGCAAUUAUAUUUAAUAAAUCGGGGGUUUUGAGCGUCUGUCCAGCGUGUUCAAAUUCUUCUCCCAAGCGGAGGCAUGUGCAGGCCCAUCAAGCAAAGCCCAGCGUCUCUGAGCUUGGCCCAUGUUUGAGCCCAGCGCCCACUUCAGCUUUCUUGUUACGAUGCAUCAUUCUUCAUGGCUUAUCUUAAUUCAGUACAUGACAUCCAACGGUCCGGCCCAACUUCUGGCCCAUCAAUCCAGAAUCCAGCCCGGUCCAAAUGGUGUUUUUGCUCCUUUCUUUUGAAGCAGCUCACGUGAAUUCUGUCCAGUGUGUAUGCUUAUGCAGGUAGAAAUAAAAGAAUUGUUACCGGAAGGAUUUGAACCCUUGGCCUCAAGCCUGCAAAACAAGCUAAUAACCACUCGGCCAACUACAACACUUGAAACAUAUGUCACUGCACUUCAUUAUAAUUAUUCAGGGCAGUUUUCUUAACUCUUCUUUUAGAUAUUAAUUAAUCUAUUAUAUUAUAUUAUAUUAUAUUAUAUUAUAUAUUAUUCAUCGAGGACAAUGAACCAUCCAAGUGUGGGGAGGUGUUCUCAAGAAUAUUAUUAUUAUUAUUAUUUAUAUAUAUAUUUUUAAAAAUCUAAAAAAAAAAUAUGAAAAUUUUAAAAAAUUUUGUAUAUAAUUAUCUUGUCUCAAAGCAUGUUUAGUGAGUACUUAUACACAUAUUGUAGACUAAUUUGCAUGAUUAAUUCUGAGCAUCAUGUCCAUGAUAAAAAUCAUUCAAUGCAUGAUAAUUCCUUGUGUGUGCUUGCGAAAAUUUUAAAACUUGAGAUGCAUCUUAGUCAAUUUCUAUGAGUAAAGCAUGCUUUCACCUUGUGAGAUUUUGAGCUUAAUUUAUGAUUGAUAAUAUUUUUAUCAAUCUAAUUCUUUUGUUGAGUGGUGUUCAUCAUUUGGCUUGUUGCUCUAGAACUUGGUUUGAACCUUAUUGAGAUGAAAUGUUAUCUGUAUGCAUGAAAAUGAUAAAGGCACUAGGAUUAACCUCAUCUAUCCAAACAGUACCCGAGAAUUAUAUCCUUAGUGAACCCUCUUGAGCUUGUAUCCGUUUUUUUUUUGUUUAUCGCCAAUCUAUGAAUUUUGAGCCUACUUGUUUAUUCUUGUCUUGAUGACUAGUAGAGCAUUUUUUGAUUCAUUGGAGCAGUGGUUAACAUUCAAGUGUGGGGAUUUCUUUGUCAAAGGGUGAAAGUUUGAUGGGAAUCAAGAAAAAAAAAAAAGAGACAUGGAAAAAAAAAACAAAGUAUCAAGUACUCCUUUGAGAUCAAUGAGUGGCAAUUGCAAUGUCAUAUGAAAAGGACGAUCCAUGUGCACGUGCUGGUAUUAAGCACAAUUGUACUAGAAAUUAAGGGGAUCAAAUUAAUUCCUCUUAUUUUUCUUGGUGACUUUUCACUGCCCUUGGUUACUGGAGAAAAACUUGACUUUGAAAAAAAAAAAAAAAAAAAAGAAAAAGAAAAAAAAAUAGCAAGUGGAGAAUGUGUUCAUUGGUGUUACAAUGUGAAAGAGGGGAAGUACGGAAUAUGUACUUGGGCUUUAAUGCUUGUGAAAGCUUGAUCACCUUUUACAUGAUUCAAUUCUCAUGUUGAGUGCUUAAUCAAAAGUGAACAUUUUGCUCUAUUAGUUAUCGAGUUAGCCACUUGUUAGCUUAUUUCUUUGAUAUCCUACCCCCUACCUAAGCCUCGUUACAACCCUUAACAAAGUCCUUUUGAUUUGUGCGUGCAUAUAUACAGAGUAGUGGAGAUUUGGUAGACAAUCAAGUUUAUGACAGUGCAUGUCCAUAUUGAUUGAAUUUGAGUGAAACAUUUACACCCAAACACUUGUGUGAAUUGAGAGUAAUGUGAGAUUUUCUACCCAUAGCAUGCUUACUUAUUGGAUGCGACUUUGAUGUCUAUUUCAUGAUAUUUUUGUCUAUAUAGACACUGUGUGCAUACUUGGAUUGUUGUGUAUAAAUGGUGCAUAAGUGAUAGUACUUGUACUUCCACACAUGUUCAGAUUGUUAUGUAAGUGAGGUUUGCAUAUGUGGAGUACUAUGAUGAUUUCUUUGCUUGAGACUUGGUGAUUAAAAAUAUUUGAUUUUGUGGGUAUAUCUUCUAUAAACCCUCACGAGACAACACUCGUCCUACUAGGGCUGCCUAGGGGUUUAACGGCUUGUUGCAUACGCUCAAUGCAAUCGUGUCAUCUACGAAAGUGAUGUUAGUAGUUAGUAAUAUUUUUAUUCUUUGUUUGCCCGAGGACGUGCAAUAUGCUAAGUGUGGGGAUAUUUGAUAAAGUAUAUAUUUAUAUAUAUUUUAGAUGAUAAUUGUUCUCAUAUUAGUUAUAUUUUGCAUUCAAUUGGACAUAUAUUAAUUAUAUUUUAAUAUCUUAUUGUAGGGAGCAAGGAAUUCUAAAUUGGAGAGGAUUUGGAGCAAAUUAGAAGAAAAUUCGCAACUAUUGGGCUACCCGCAUUCGGAAUAUUGUUUGGGCCAUAUCUUGAGUUUUAGAAGUCGGAUUUGGGCGAUUCAACAGCUCACGCGAAGAUAAUAUAAUUUUCUAUCAUUCUAGAUGGGUCCAGAUAUCAAAAGCCCGCUGAAACAGCCCAGGAACAGGGGAGAAAGUCAACUGCGAAUUUUGACCUUUUGGAAACCCAUUCAGUUUCGGAAUUGCCUUGUAUAUUCCUAUUAGAAUAAAAAUACUUUUGUAUUAGGUUUUAUUAGAUAGAGAAUUACAUACGUGCUACUGAGGAGAGCCACGGAGAAGAAGAGAAAGGAUCGGUAUUCUGUAUCGAUUUCUAUUCUUUUUAUGAUUCUUAUGUGUUUUACUAUGAUUAUGAUUGGCUAAACCUCGAUUGUUGGAGGGCUGUUUUGAAGCCCUAAACUUUAUGACAAUGAUAUUUUGAUUUUCCGAGAUAUGUUCUUGAUUGCACUUAUAUAUACGUCAAUGCUUAUAGAUAUUCUUGAAUUAACUGUGGUAUGUGGACAUCCAAUUCAGUUAUGUGAUUGAUAUAUCUGUAAAGUCAAUUAAUCUUUCUAUGUGGUCCAUGGGAUUAAUUGUAUCAGUGUGUAAUCUGUUUAGCCUUUCUAUGUGGUCCAUGGGGUUAUGCGGAUAGCAGAGCUUGUUUCUAUGUGGGCCAUGACAAGUUCUCUAUAAGUGUCUUUCAGUACAUAUCAUAAGGGUUUCAGAGUAUGUCAUGGGUUUAGUGGUGGAUUAAUAUGCUUUCCAACAUGCUUCUUUAAUUGUUAAAAACACAUUUGCUUUAGUUUAAUAAUUAGUUUAAUUAAUAGAUAAAACAAAAUCCAAUCGUUAUUUCUUUGCAAAAUAUAAGUUAAGUGAGCCCUUGAUUCCUGGCGUUGAACGAUACCCUUACUUAUUCUAUAUUAUUAUCGGCAGAAAAAGGGUUUAAAUUGAGUCACAUCANUGUGCCAAAAUCUGAAAUUUUUGGGUUCAUCUCAAGAUCGAGCAAAACAUUGCUGGCUUUAAGAUCCCUGUGUAUGAUCCGCAAUCUAGAAUCCUGAUGAAGAUAGAGAAGUCCCCUGGCGAUGCCAUUAAUGAUGUUAUACCGAGUAGGCCAGUCAAGCGUGUAUCUUUUCGUCUUAUCUAAUCAAAAGGUCAUUAAAGUUAAUCCAGUGUUGUGAAAACAAGGUGAAAAUUAUAUGAUUCAAAAAUGAAUACAUGAUCACUGUAACAGAGAUGAAGUAUACCAAAUAUGAACGAGUCCAGGCUUUUAUGGGGCAUGUAUUCGUACACCAACAUUCUUUCUCCCUCCUGCACAGAGCAGCCGAGAAGCUUUACAAGAUUUCGGUGCUGAAGUCGAGCAAUGCAUGAAACUUCAUUUUUAAACUCUUUCAGCCCUUGCCUCGAAUCCUUUGAAAGCCUCUUUACAGCUAUUUCUUUUCCAUCGUCGAGCAUACCCUAAAAUAAAUCAAUGAGAAACUGUCAUCUUCUGUAAUGGGAUAAAAUGACAUUUUCUUUCGUCAAUUACUCUAAUCAAGAAGCAAGAUCAUGGACCACGAGCUACACAUCAUAUAAUUUAUGUUUCUGAUUUCGUAAACAGUAAUUUUAUUUGUUGGGUUCUAUACGAUUAAGUUGACUUUUAUCCUUGAUCAGAUGCUGGCAUGACAAUUACCUUAUAGACAGGCCCAAAGCCACCUUCUCCAAGCAUGGAGUAUUUUGAGAAGCCAUUGGUUGCAAUAUCUAAGGUUGUGAAGUCAAACAAUGGCAACUCUAAAUCCUCGGCACCCAUCUCAUUGCUCCCACCGUUUGCAAAAUACGGGUUUUUUAUCCCUGCAAUUUCCAUGUGCAAACUCAUACAGUAAAGUAAAAGCAUAAACUUGAAAAUUCGAAAGAACACUGAAUUAUUGUAAUACCUUCUCUGUGCUUCUUCUUCUUUUUGUUCCUGAUUACCCACAGGCAUACACACAUCAUUGUUACCGUCAUCAGAAUAGCUAUCAAAACGAACCAUACUUUGGAUCUCCCUUUUUUAGCUUCACAAUCAACCAGAAAGUAUAUCAAUUUACUAGAUUCAACAAAAGAGGGAAAGACAUAUAUGUAAUAAGUAGUGCUGAAACAGCUAGUAAAUGAAAACACUCAGAAUACCUAAUUCAGAUGCAGCCAUUCUUAUGUAAAGAUCUUGACCAUUCUCUUUCUGAUAUCUAAUAUCAAUAAGCUCAUUAAACCAUAACAAGCAUCCGCUUCCACUACCUCUAACAUCUGAAUUUGCAUAAGCUGUGCAUGAGCAAUUGGUCAAGCACACUUUCUCGCACUCACCAAGGCUCAUAUUCUUAUCAAACCAAGAACGCUGAGAAUCUGGUAAUUUCAAGCCUGAAUGUUUAACAAAUCCAUCUCCAUUCUGACAACUCAGUUUUUCUUUCCUUGCACAGCCACUAGACCAGUCUGCAGCAUCCCAUCCAUUUUUAUCUUUUGGCUGAAAACCAUUGAAGCACAUACACACAGGAGAAGUGUUAAUGUUACAGCUCUCAUAAGCCCCACAUACGCUAUAAUAAUCACAAUCAUCUAUUGGUGCAGAAGAAUAAGGCUGCCAAAUUUGAGAUUUUUCAAUCCAUACCCAUCUUUGUAUAUGACCAGAUGGAUUCAACACCCUCCUUGUAUAAACUGAACUAUUAACAGCUUCGUAAAUAUAAUAUAAGUCCUUAUCGUUAGAAACAAAAUCAUACUUGUAAAUUGGGUUGGGGCUCAAGUUGGGCGUGCCAGAAAAUCUAAGGCCAUUCCAAGGCCCCGCACGUGAAUCUAUAGCAGAACCUUUCCUUAUCAUUUGCUGUGGAAAUCCAUUACGUUCAAUAUAAUUUGUAUAUUCACCUGGAGAUGGAUCAUCAAGACUCCUCCAAGAAGUGAGGUGUCUUUCUAGCCCAGUUUCCAAAUUCCACCCGAGCUUAGCACCCGGUAAUUCAGUGUCGCCAGGUUUAUCAAAACUUUGCCACAGGUACUUGUCACUCUCACUUUCUUCUCUAAUAACAAGAUUCCCAGAAUCCAGCAGCUGCACGACAGGAUUAUUCACAGAUGCCGUGGAGUUUGAUGACCAAACCACAUCAUCAGAAAUAUUGAGAAUGACAAGAUUUCCGUUGCUGUUAAGUCUCAAGAGAUUUAAUGAAGUAUUAAGAGGAGCUUUCCUAUUGGCAAUCCACACAAUUGUCUUUACGGCUAUCUUCUUGUACCAUAUACCCACAUACCGAUUUGCAGAACUCCCUACAGUUACAAAGCCAAGCUCAAAAUGACCACCAGAUGAGACAAUAGUGCUUCCAUCAUCUCUAAGGAUUUGGUUGGGUCCUAUUAUGUCUCCGGCUGCUGCUACUUUACAGUUUAGUGAAACAGAAAAUAACAAGAUGCAGGAUAAAAACAGCUUCAAAACUGUUGCAGAACUGCAGCCUUCCAUUUACUUUGUACUCCCUCCGUCUCAAUUUAUAGGUCCACUUUGGGAAAAAAAUUUGUCCCAAAAUACUUGUCCCUCUCUUCUUUCAAUACAAAUUUAUCUACAUAUUAAUUGUGACUGUUUUGAAACUCAACAUUAUUCUCAUUUUUCAAUGCACUAAAUCUCUAUAUUUAUUGUGAUUUUUUUGAAAAUCAACUAUAUUCUCACUUUUCAAUGCAUUAAUUAAUGAUACAUGAGAUAAGAUUCUAUCUAACCAACUUUUUUCUUAAUAUGCAUGUUUAUUCCAAAAUGGACCUAUAAAUUGAGACGAAGGGAGUAAUAUUCUUUCACUUGUUGCUCAGAGAGAUAUAAAAAAUCAACCGUUGUCUCCUUUAUUAAUGUCAUUUAUGUAAUAUAAACAUUGAAUUCUAUCGUAUGAAAUUUCCAAGUGUUUCCUUUAUUUAAGACUGCUAUCUGUAUGACUUGAAUCCUACAGCUGACUGUGUAAUAUUAUUGUGAAGUCACCAUGCUGCACUCAGUAAAAUAAUACCUCUAUCAUUUCUCAGCACCAAAACUUAGACCAACAGAUUAAUGUCAUAUACUCCCUCUGUUUUUUUUAUAUGACGCUUUGACUUUUGGCACACAUUUUUAAGUGCUUUGACCGGGUAGUUAAAAAUAUUAUUUUUUGAAUUUUUUUUUCUAAAUAAAAAUUUUGAUUAUAUACUAUUAUUCAGAAAAAGAAAUUUUAAAAAAUAAUAUUUUUAACUACCCGGUCAAAGCAAUUAAAAGUGUGUGCCAAAAGUCAAAGCGUCAUAUAAAAAAAAACAGAGGGAGCAUGUAAUAUGAACAUUGAAUUCUAUCUUAUAUCUUAUGAAAAUUCCAAGUAUUUCCUUUACUUAUGACUGUUAUCUGCAUGACUGAAUCCUGCUGUUGACUGUGUAAUAUUGCAUUCUGAUUCGUCCAAAAACUUCAAGAUCACUUAUUACAAAUUUGAAUCAAACUAAUUAAUCAUCAAUUAACUUAAUUUAUUUAUGCCGUUGAAGUCGAAGAUUAAAAUUAUUGAAAAAUUAUAAUAUAGGAGGAUGGAGCUCAUCCUGGCUUCCAUAUGAUUACUAAAAUUUGCUAUUUGGCUCAUAGUAUCAUGGUAAAAUAUGAUUUUGCUAUAAACCAGUGAUUCAUGUAAUUGUAAAUAGUGAUUUUGAAAUAAGUUUUUUGUUCGCAUGCUAAUUUGGUUGGUAUUUGAGUAAGACUAUGGGGCCGUUUGGGUUAGUUUAAAAAAGUGACUUCUUGCUUAAAUUAAAGAAGUGGAAUAGAAGUGAGAAGUAAAUAAGUUAAUAAAGUGUUUGGAAAAGAAGUAGAAGCUCUGAUAAAGAAGUUAGUAUUCUUAAUUUCUUAAAAGUGCUUCUACUUAUAUAUUUACACAAACGGAUCAAGAAAAGUAGAAGCCAGAAGCAGCUGCUUCUUCUUCCCAAACCGGCCCUAUAUAUGUAUAUUUGAAUAAGUCCUUAUUUUCGUCGAAUAACGCUUGCCAAACAUGCCAAAAAUAUAAAUAACUCACUUAGUGCCUUUUUUUCUUUGAAGUGCACAAAAUAUGGAAAAUUUUUGCUACUAGGGAUCUCAAACAAAUAAUUCGGAUACAAAUCUGUCUAUGUCUGUAUCCAGCUCCGAAAAUUCAUAUCUGUAUCUGGAUCCGAAUCUGAAAUUCGUAUUCAUAUCCGAAUUUUUCAAUGGGUAAUAUCCGAUUCCGGAUCCGAUGGAUACUAUUCGGAUAUGGAUAAUGUUUGAAUCUAAAUUUGUUUUUCAAUUAGAAUUAUUAUGUUUAUAUUUAAAAUUAAAAAAUAUAAUAAAUAAUUAAAAUUAAAAUUUUUAAAAUUGAGUUAAUAUUUAAAUUCAUUAAAGAAUAUUUAUAUUUGUUCAAUGAUUAAUUUUAUUUGUCUAUAAAUAUAAAUUUGUUAUUUUUAAAAUAUUAAACUCAAAUGAUAUUAUGGUAUGUGUCUAUAAUAGUUUUACAACUAAACAAAAUUUGUAUAAACAUAUUAUUUUAUAAGAGUUGAGUUAUAUGGAGUCCGCAUUUAAGUUGGAGUAUUAGAGUACCAAUCAUAAUUUUUAAUUUAGUUAUAUAUAAUAUAAUUGAUUAUCCAGAUUUAUAUAUAACUUAUCAUUUAUGAGUAGUCAUAAACACAAUUAUUAAUUAAUCAUUAACAUAUUUUGAUCUUAAUAAUAAUUAAGAUUAUUAUUCUGGUUAUGAGUUAUAUUGCAGAAUAUUUGUGUCCUCCAAUUUAUAAAAGUACUUCUUCUACUUUUUAAUUUAUGGAAUAAAAAAAAUUAAAAUUAAAAUAACUAAAUUAUAUUUUAUCUAAUUUUGAACUCCAAUACUCUAAUGUUUUGUGAACUCCAUAAAACUUGAACCUGUUUUAUAAAUAAUAGAAAUAUACACACUAUAAUUUCAGAUAUUAUCAGAUAUGAAAUGAAUAUGUCUAUAUUUAUAUUUGUAUCCGGAAUUAUCGGAUACGAAUAAUAUCCACGUUGUCUCAAUUACGGAUAAUAUUCAUUUUAUCUCGAAUACAAAAUACAUAUGUUAGGGCAAAUCCAGCAGUGAUCCAAAGAUCCAAAUUUGGGGCAAAUUACCCCAAAUUCUCCUCCAGCAGUGAUCCAAAAAGUAAUCCAAAUUUGGAUCAGUGAAGAAUACUGAUCCAAAUUUGGAUCACCACUGUUCACUGAUCCAAAUUUGGAUCACCUACUUUAUAAUCAAAUAAUGAUUUUGUUAUUUCAAAAUAGUUUGUGAUUAUUAUUAUAUAAUUAAUAAUAGUUUAUAAUUAAUAAUUAAUAAAAUUAAUGUUUUCGUAAAAACUUAGAAUACUAGGAAAGCAAAUUUCAUUGAAAUUAAAAAAAGAGUACAUACAUAAAGUAAAAUUACAAUAGAAAUGACUAAAAAACAGUACGAUAAAUAAAAUUUUGAUUUAAUCAAACAGAUUAUUUCUGUUUCCUCCGAGAUUAUCAAAAUAUUGUCCGUAGCUAUCAUUUUGGGAUCCUUGAGUUUCAUCUUUUCUAUGAAAUCAACAAGCACGUUAUUUUGUUUAAUAAUAUUAACAAUUAAAUAUAUAAUUUAAAUACUAAAUAAUUUGGAUCAGAAUUUGAGUCAUGCUGGAGUUGGUUAGAAAUUUGGAUCCGAAUUUGAAUCUGAAUCAAUUGGUUUUGGAUUUUUGGAUCAGAACUGCUAGAUAUCGAAUUAUUUGGACUUAUUACUAUCCUUUUUUCCUGAAAACAGACUAGCAUACGUAGAGGCUAUUACUAGACCUUAAUAUUGGUAGACAGUGGUACUUUCAAACCUGUAAGCAAGAGUUGUAUUCUUUUUGUCUAGUAGCAGACGUCUCUUCCUGAGUGUUACGGUGUUACCAAGUUCCACACAUUUUUUCUCCCCAAAAAUCAACCAAGGGGAUGACUUGCAUUUCUGCGUCCUCUAUUGACCGGAUCCUUGUUCACAAAUCUGUAUAUCAACUUCGUCCGCCCAAUAUUCCUGUUUUGUUUUGCAAAAUAUCAAAACUUUUAAAGUGAAAUUAUAAUUGUUGAUGGAGGAAUUUGGUAAUCAACAAAGAUGAGGUUCAUGGCCGGAAUCAAGAUCUGUGACGAUGGUUUUAGCUGCCGGAGUGUGGUGGUUGUGUGUUUUAAGGGGUGGUUGAGAUUAGGGUUUUGAGUUGCCUUCUUGUGCUCUCAACUCAUGAUCCCCUAAUGUGCCUACGUACCCCUAUAUUUAUAGGGGAUCAAGCCAUACGUAGUUCUAUUGAACCAAGACUCUUAUUUUGAUCAAGACUAGGCCUCUUGGGGAUAAGACCAACCUUAAGCCGAUGACUUAUCACUUAGAGUUCUACUCCAGUUAGAAUUAAGCCUUGAGGCCAACUACCUCAGACUCCUAGUCCAACUACAUCACGGAUACGGCAUCAUCUCCACUACGAGAGAUGACACUAACCGCUACUUUUCGUAGCAUGGAGGAGACGUCUGAUAGAGCCGUGACCUAUCUCCACUACGAGAGAUGACACUAACCGCUACUUUUCGUAGCAUGGAGGAGACGUCUGAUAGAGCCGUGACCUAUUCCUUGAGGUGUAGGGACGCGUCCUUACCCCUAGUGAAGGUUCUCACUAAGAGGUAAGACCAUUGAGGAGCCAAGUUAUACGAUCUUCUCAAUCCCCCAAUGAGGGCUAACUCACCAGAAUACAGGAUCCAGACAUAUGAUCGGCCUUCGUGUCACCCCUGAGGGCCCCCGCACGAGGACAACCCGGCAGAUAGCAGGAUUAAGGAUUAUAGAUAACUCCCGGACGUAACCCGGAAACUACCAAAUGAGCCUGAUAACUACCAGAUGAGCCCGGCACUAGUCUUCAUAUCCCUCGGAAGGGUAGGUCUUCGUAUCUCUCGGAAGGGUCGUCAUCGAGACUCACUCAUCCUCACAUACACAAUAUUUACUUGUGGGCACGUCCACGGAGGGCGCGCCCUAAGUCUUCGUUCUUUUGUCUCGCCUGAUUCCCGUUGAAAGCGGUAGUCAAACGUCUCCGCGAACCAAGGCCGCGCCCUCCGGGUCACACCGAGAAGGGCGCGCCUCUCGCAUAAAUCCUAUGGCCAAAUUCGGCCAUAACAAUAAUAUUGAAAUUACUUAAAGCCUGUAGCUGUAAGCUUGUGUUUAAGAGUAGUGAACUCCAAAAAGUAUGGAGACUUUAUGUUAGUAGUAUAAACAGAGAUUCAAGUUGUGACAGAUGGCUUAUAAUUUUACUUGCUUGCUAGAAAAAACACACCACCCUUUUUACUUACUAGAAAAAAAUAUACCAUCUUUUCUGUGCUCUAGACACAUGUAUCCGUUGCAUUAUAAUUUUUUGCAUUAAGAAAUUUGGAUUAUAAUCAUAUCAAUGUAUUAACUUAUCAGGGUUUCUCUACUGUUUAUCCAAAAUCAAGAAUUUUAAUCAAGAUAGAAAAGGGCAGUCAAGUAGUGUAGUUGCGUUUUAUUAGUAGUGCAGCAGUGUAAAUAUCUAUCCAGUGUAUGAUAUAUACAGUGGAGAAAUUGUGAACUAAUGUACGGCUAAUGCACUGGAAAAACGAUAUACUCCCUCCGUCCCACCCAAUUGUUUACCUUGGGUUUGGGCACGGAGGUUAAGAAAUAUGUAUAAAGUAGUGAAAAAGAGGAAGAAAAGUGGGUGAAGUGGUGGGACCCAUCGAUUUUUAAUAUAUAAAAGGGAGAUAGUGGAGUAAAAGUAGUGUGAAAAGGAAGGAAAAGUGAUAAAGUGGUGGGACCCAUUAACUAUUUUGGGAAAGUUUUGUAAUGUAAAGAAAUGGAUGGGACGUCCAAAAGAGGUAACUGUAAAGAACCUGGUGGGACGGAGGGAGUAGAUAAUAAGCCAUGCUUAGGGGCGGUGGACGAGAAAUUUAUGAGGGAAAUUUGAUUUGGAUUUUAAAAUUCAUUCCAUUCACAUGAACUAGUAAAUUUAAUUUAGUAUUCACUAAAUCAUUCCAUUCAUAUGAUCAAAAAUCUCACUACUAUCGCCAUUCUCUCUCAAAUUAGGGUUUUGAGAGUCGACUCCCAAAACUAGCCGUCACUUCUCCAUUCUUCACCUUCAUCCUCUUCAUCCACCAAAUCCUUUUCGCUCUCCCAUCUUCUCCACUAUUUACCAGUUUUUUGUUUUUCAAUAAAAUCGAGUGUUGCUUAAACCUCGAAGAUUCCAAUCGAGUUUUAUUCUCGGAUCUGUUUCGGAUUUGAGUUUGGGCUUGAUUGUUUUCUGAAUAAAUCAGAUCUUUUGAAAUCAAAGGUCCGAUUGUGUUUUCCCGUCUCGCCUUUUGGCGUGUGUUAAUUUAGUACCCAAUUUUUGGUUGGUUCUGCGUUGUUAUAUUUGUGGUUGUUAUGUCUUUCUGUGUUAUCAAUGAGAAUGAUUGUGAUGGGGUUUUGGAAGAUCUAGCAUAUCGCAUCAUUGAUACUUUCGGCAUGUCUAUAGCUGGCUCCCGACAUGUAGAUAGCUGGGGUAUGCUUGGAACAAUGGCGAUCGCAUGUGCUCACCUUUCACAAAUUAUAGUUGUUCGUUAUUCGAGGACUCUUGUUCCUCAUUGCUUAGUUUUUACAACUAAGUCGACUGAACACCACAACAGCCAUGGAACUAUUGUGAAGGUCAAUUGCGAAGCUAUCAUUUUCGAGAUUGAUGAAGGCUGGAUUACUCGAGAAGCCUUUGUAUUCAUUUUCAGUUUCAAGAAUCCUUGGAUUCAGUGUGUUAAGCAGUCUAGAAACAAUGCGGCUAUUUGUUUAGUUCGUUUUAUUGUUUAUCAACCUGAUUGCAUUGUCAGUUGGGGAUUGUCCCGACUAGACUUGUUUUAAUUUAAUGGAACGAAUUUGCAUUUUGUCAAAAAAAAUCAUUCCAUUCAUAUGAACAACGAGAAUUAAUCUUCUGUUACUAAAUAAAUAAGAAAUAUUAGCAUGAACCGGUCUUUGACCAUCAAUCCUGGAGCCAUCAAGCUCUAUUAUAUGCUGUAAAUCUUUGGGGCACUCGGCUUCAGCUUGUCCAAAGGUCACUAGAAUAUGGAAGCAAAAGGAUAAAUCAGGGGUCCAGGAGGCCACUGCUGAGGAUAAGGAUCAUGAAUCUGAAGCUACUGAUAAAGAUAAAGGGGAGAAUGUCAAGGGUGCAGGUGCUGUUGUUAGUAAUAACUCUGAGAAUCCUAGCAUUGAAGUUGACUGUGACAGUCCUCUUGCUGCUUGGAUUGAAAUCAAACGGAAAAAAUCUGGCAAUAUAUCUGGAAACAAAUCUGACAGUUAUACCGAUACUGAAGCAUCACCAUCCCCUCUUGUAACUUUCAAGCAUUUAAAAUUGGUAGAUGAAUUUGCAGCAAUACAGGGUCCUAAAUCUGCUAACUUUCAAGCAUUUAAAAUUGGUAGAUGAAUUUGCAGCAAUACAGGGUCCUAAAUCUGCUAACUUUCAAGCAUUUAAAAUUGGUAGAUGAAUUUGCAGCAAUACAGGGUCCUAAAUCUGCUAAUCCUGGUACGCAAACUAAUUCAGUGAGACUUACUAAAUCUCAAAAGAAGAAGCUUAAGGCUUCAUUGGGGAAUAACUCCCCCUCUCUAUCUUAAUUUUUAUGAUAGAUUUUUGUUCCUACAAUAUCCGUGGGCUGCAUAAUAAAGUGUCUUUUGCAAAAGACUUUUUGAGCGUCAAUAAAUGUGGUCUUGCAGCCCUUUUGGAAACUCAUGUGAAAAAGGAAGACGUUGGUUUCUACUCUUCUGUCAUUGCUCCUAGAUUUAAAUGGUUGUUUAACUAUGAUUUUCACGAUAAUGGGAGAAUUUGGUUUGGUUGGGAUGAGAAUCUGUGGAAAGUCACUUUAGUUGCAUCAUCUGCUCAACAUAUUACUUGUGAGGUUCUGCAAACGGAUGGCCCUGUUCACUGUUUACUUACUAUGGUAUAUGCUUUUAAUGAUGAAGUUUUGAGAAGAUAUCUUUGGGCUGAUUUGGAGUCUUUGCAGCAGAAUUAUAGUGAGAAUAUGUUACCUUGGUGCUUGAUGGGGGAUUUUAACACCUUCAUGUAUUCUUUUGAAACUAAUGGACCUAUGCCUAGAAGGAGUAAUCAUAUUGAGGAAUUUAAGAGAUGCACUACUGAUCUGGGGCUUGUUGACCUGAGAUAUCAAGGCACUAUCUUUACCUGGUGGGAUGGAAAUACUACUGUGCCUGUCAUGAGGAAGUUGGAUAGGGUUCUGGUCAACUCUGAUUGGCUUGCUCGUUAUGAUCUCUCUCUAGCUGAAUUCCUUCCCAGAGGUCUAUCUGAUCAUAAUCCGGCAGUUGUUCAUCUGGGCAUCACUAGAGAUAUCAUCCGUAAACCUUUUCAACUGUUUAAGCAUAUUUUGGAUCAUGAUUUAUUUAUGCAGGUUGUUCAACAGGCCUGGGAUUCUCCUGUUCAGGGAAAUCUGUGGCACAUAUUAAUCACUAAGCUCAAGAGACUAAAAGAUUCUCUUAAAACUCUCAAUAGUGAAGGUGGCAAUCUGCAUGACAAUGUGGUGGCUGCAAGAACUGAACUUCUUGAUUUCCAGAAUGGCCUCCCCUCCAUUCCUUCACAGCCUCAGAGAAUUGAGGAGGGUCUUAAGAGUAAAAAAUUGCAGGAGGCUUUAUUAAUUGAAGAAAAAUUUCUCAAGCAAAAAUCAAAAGUGAGAUGGUUGCAACAUGGUGAUGAGAAUAAUAAAUUCUUUUUUAAUUCUUGCAGAGGCAGGUGGAACUCCAAUAAAUUGUUACAAAUUACUGAUGAUGAGGGCACUGUUCAUAUGGGGCACAGUAACAUUGCUAAUGUAGCAGUGUCUUAUUUUCAGAAGCUUCUUGGCAGCUCCUGCGAUGUUCAGGAGUUCAGUGACUGGCCUGAAAUGCAAGGGAUUAAUAAACUUUCUGAAGGAGAGCAACAUGAGCUGAUCAAUCCAUUUACUACUGCUGAUGUCUUGGCUACCUUUAAAGCAAUGGCCAAGGGUAAAAGUCCAGGCCCUGAUGGCUAUUCUCCUGAAUUUUUUGUGAAAGCCUGGAAGAUUGUAGGACAUGAUACUACUGCUGCAAUCCUUCACUUCUUUGAAACUGGUCAGUUGCCUCGUAUGAUUAACUCUUCUGCUAUUUCUUUGAUUCCCAAACAGUCAAAUGCUUCGCACUUGAGUCAUUAUAGGCCUAUAUCUUGCUGCACAGCCAUAUACAAGUGUAUUGGGAAAUUGAUUGCUCACAGAAUGAGUAAGGUUAUGUGUUCUCUUGUUUCCUUAAAUCAGUGUGCAUUUGUUCCUACAAGAAGUCUAGGUGACAAUGUUUUCCUGGCCCAAGCUUUAUGUAGAAAUUAUCAUCUAAACUAUGGAUCUCCGCGUUUUGCUUGCAAGUUGGAUAUUCGUAAAGCUUUUGACACUCUUAAUUGGGCAUUUAUUCUUCAACUUCUUGCUACUAUGAAUUUUCCUGAGAAAUUUAUCAAGUGGAUAAAAGUAUGCAUUACUUCUUGUAUGUAUUCAAUAAAAGUUAACGCAGCUUUAGAGGGUUAUUUUGCUGCUGCUGCUGGUAUUAGGCAAGGGGACCCUAUCAGUCCUUAUUUGUUUGUUUUGGCUAUGGAAGCUCUUAAUGUUUGCUUUACUAAAGUCAUUGUGGGCUCUAAAUUUUCUUAUCAUUGGCGUUGUGGGGAUUUGAAGCUUACUCAUCUUGUUUUUGCGGAUGAUUUACUUCUUUUCUGCAAAGGUAAUCAGCCCUCUAUUGCUUUGUUGCUUGAAGCCAUAAAUCUGUUCUCUAGCAUUUCUGGCCUAAAGUUAAAUACCGCCAAAUGUGUGUGCUUCUUUGGAAAUGUUUCUACUGAAGUCAAAAAUUAUGCAUUGACUCAGUCUGGUUUCACAGAAGGUAAUUUGCCAAUCACUUAUCUGGGCCUUCCUUUAACCUCUCGUAAUCUGAAUGCUAGAGACUGCAUGCCGUUAAUACACAAAAUUUGCAAGCGUGUUGAUUUAUGGACCUGUAAAUUUUUGAGCCAAGCUGGUAGGCUCCAACUGAUCAAAUCAAUCUUGUUUGGUAUUCAAGGUUUCUGGGUUAGAUUUUUGUUUUUACCAACUCAAGUCGAAAAAAGAAUCCAGAGCAUCCUUGCUAGAUUCUUUUGAAAGAGCGAUUGUGGACCAGGGACCGUAUGUUAUCCUUUUGCAUGAAUAUUGAUCGUGGCUGCCUUCUUUGUACAGGAUUCUUUGAGACUCAUUCUCACUUGUUUUGUGAAUGUCAUUAUUCUAGAACUAUUUUGAAUGCAUGUCCUAUUGCUGUUAGCACUGUCUGGACAGAUAUUUGUGCCGGAGGAAUUCUGGUGAACCAAGUGGAUACUAUUCGUGAUAAUAUUGCAUACCUGUAUGUGGCAGUAGCUUAUUAUCACAUUUGGGCUGAAAGGAAUCUACGUCUUCAUAGUCCUGGCCAAUAUAAUCAGCCUAUUAUUCUAAUCAGAAGAAUCAAGGAUGUUGUCAGAAGCAAGUUGGUUGUUAGUAAAUUAUUUACUCGGUUUGCUAGACAAGAUUUUACUUUAAAUAGUUUUCUCUAGUUCUUCUGUUAUCUAGUCUUUGGCUAUUUGAAUCUAGGAGUGUUAGCUUUUAUCUCUUUGUGACAGUUUGAGUUUCUCCCGCGGGGUAUGCCCCUAGAUUUGUAAUCUGUUUGUUUCUUUAAUAUAUUUAAUUAGCAAAAAAAAAAGAUUUAAAAUACGGUUUUUCAAAAAAAAACGGUUUUUCUAUGAUGUGCCCAUGGGCACAUGCUAAGCGCGGAAAUUUUUGUAUUUGGAGCAUUUUCAUUGGCUCCUACUUCUUAAUAAUGGUGGACCCCCUGCAAAUACACCAACCACACCAAUAAAAAUGCUCCAAAUACAAAAAUUUCCGCGCUUAGUAUGUGCCCAUGGGCACACACUAGACAAACCCUUUAAAAUAUAAUCAAAGUUAAUGCUAGAAUCUAACAAUGAACUUUGGGAAGGAAACAGUGCUUGGUUUGAGAGGGAAAUCAGUUGCUUCAAUCAAGAGUUUGUUGAUACAAUCAAUUACAACCAGAAUCUCAUGAAAAUCACUUGGAAUAAGAAAUUGAUUUAUUUGCUGUACUGUAAAUAUAAACAUAUAAUAAUGCUAUAAUAACAAGUGUUGUAAAAAGCGCAUUAAGCGGCCGUCUAAGCGGGCGCUUAAGCGGAAUCGGAGAGUAAAACGCUUCGAUUUUACAUUAAGCGGGAGAUUAAGCGUUUUUUAACAUUAAGCGGCCUGUUAAGCGGAUUAAGCGGACAUUAAGCGGAUUAAGCGGUCAGAAUGAUUUUGACUUGCUAAUUUUUUAUAUAUAAAUACAAAUAUUUUUUUAUAAAUAUUAUGAAAAUUAUAAUAAAAAAUUAAAAAUAUCUUUUUUAUCAAAAACAUUUUAUGUUUAAAUUCUUAUUACUUAAUUAUUUUAUAAUUUUAAUUAUAUAUAUAAUAUUAUUAUAUAUAAAAUUUUAAAUAUAUAUUAUUAAUCCGCUUAAUCACCCGCUUAAAAUUCCGCUUAAGCGUCCGCUUAUCCGCUUAAGCGCUACAAGGUCACCUCACCGCUUAGGACCGAUUUGCGCUUUUUACAACACUGAUAAUAACACAUUGUUUCUCUCUUUCGUUUUGGACUUUGAAAUAUUAAAAGCGGCAAUCAUAAUUUAUAUUUUUUAAUAGAAUAAAAACGAGAAAUAAUAUGUUUAUCUAGGAGCUAUAGCUGUCACACUGCAGUAGUUGGAUGAACACGACGAAGAAUCUCCUUCGUGCACAUUCCUCUCGAUGAAAAAUCCAGGUUGCUUAGGUUGAGGCAGGGGAAGCUCACUGGUUAGCAUUAGCACCACCGUUGCCAUGGUUGGCCUAUCCGCCGGACAUUGUUGCACACAUAAUAACCCUAUUUGAAUAGCUCGAAACACUUCGUAUUGAUGUUCACGGCUUAAAUCUUUAAUAACCUCAUCUACUAGGUCCAACACAUUUCCAUCUUUAUAAGUUCUAUAUGCCUAAAACAAUUAAAAAAUUAGCGAAGAGUUCAAUUAGUAAAACAUAAGUAAUGACAAUUUAACUACUUUAUAUGAUGGUCUAGAAACUUACAUGUCCGAGAAGGUUAAGAUUGUGAUCUAGAUGAGUAAAAUUUUUGUUUCUUUUUCCAUUCACCAUCUCUAAAAGGAGUACCCCAAAGCUAUAAACAUCAGAUUUCACCGAAAAUAUGCCAUCCGUUGCAUACUCAGGAGACAUGUAACCACUGCAAGAAAACACCUGAUGUAUCACAUUUUUGCUAAUAGAAACAUCAUUCCUUAGAAUGGUAGAUAUUCAUACUAUGUUCCAACUACUCUGGUUGUAUUGGCUCCUGUUUCCGUCUCUCCGCAGAUCCUUGCUGUGCCAAAAUCUGAAAUUUUUGGGUUCAUCUCAAGAUCGAGCAAAACAUUGCUGGCUUUAAGAUCCCUGUGUAUGAUCCGCAAUCUAGAAUCCUGAUGAAGAUAGAGAAGUCCCCUGGCGAUGCCAUUAAUGAUGUUAUACCGAGUAGGCCAGUCAAGCGUGUAUCUUUUCGUCUUAUCUAAUCAAAAGGUCAUCAAAGUUAAUCCAGUGGUGUUAGAAACAAGGUGAAAAAUUUGCUAGUACACGUAAAAGAUAUGAUUCAAAAAUGAAUACAUCAUUAUUACAGAGAAAAAGAAUACCAAAUAUGAACGAGUCCAGGCUUUUAUUGGGCAUGUAUUCGUACACCAACAUUCUUUCUCCCUCCUGCACAGAGCAGCCGAGAAGCUUCACAAGGUUUCGGUGCUGAAGUCGAGCAAUGCAUGAUACUUCAUUUUUAAACUCUUUCAACCCUUGCCUCGAAUCCUUUGAAAGCCUCUUUACAGCUAUUUCUUUUCCAUCGUCGAGCAUACCCUAAAAUAAAUCACUGAGAAACUUUAAUCCUCUGUAAUGGGAUAAAAUGACAUUUUAUUUCCUCAAUUACUCUAAUCAAGAAGCAAGACCAUGAACCACAAUGCGUUCAACUCAUAUAAUUUAUGUUACUGAUUCAAGAGUAACUUUAUUUUCUCUCAAAAAAAAAAAAAACAGUAACUUUAUUUGUUGGGACUACGGAUAAAAUGCUGCCAUGAGAAUUACCUUAUAGACAGGCCCAAAGCCACCUUCUCCAAGCAUGGAGUACUUUGAGAAGCCAUUGGUUGCAAUAUCUAAGGUUGUGAAGUCAAACAAUGGCAACUCUAAAUCCUCGGCACCCAUCUCAUUGCUCCCACAGUUUUCAAAAUACGGGUUUGUUAUCCCUGCAUUUUCUAUGUGCAAACUCAUACAGAAAAGUAAAAGCAUAAACUUGAAAAUUUGAAAGAGAACAUUGAAUUGUUGUAAUACCUUCUGCGUGCUUCUUCUUCUUCUUCUUUUUGUUCCUGAUUACCCACAGGCAUACACACAUCAUUGUUACCGUCAUCAGUAUAGGUAUCCAUACGAACCAUACUUUUGAUCUCCCCUUUUUAGCUUCAUAAUUAACACUCGGAAUACCUAAUUCAGAUGCAGCCAUUCUGAAGUAAAGAUCUUGACCAUUCUCUUUCUCAUCUCUAAUAUCAAUAAGCUCAUUAAACCAUAACAAGCAUCCGCUUCCACUGCCUCUAACAUCUGUAUUUGCGUAAGCUGUGCAUGAGCAAUUGCUCAAGCACAGUUUCUCGCACUCACCAAGGCUCAUAUUCUUAUCAAACCAAGAACGCUGAGUAUCUGGUAAUUUCAAGCCUGAAUGUUUCACAAAACCAUCUCCAUUCACACAACUCAGAUUUUCUUUCCUUGCACAGCCACUAGACCAGUCUGCAGCAUCCCAUCCUUUUUUAUCUCUUGGCUGAAAACCAUUGAAGCACAUGCACACAGGAGACUUGUCAAUGUUACAGCUCCCAUAAGCUCCACAUACCCUAUAAUGAUCACAAUCAUCUGGUCCAGAAUGAUAAACCUGCCAAAUUUGAGAUUUUUCGAUCCAUACCCAUCUUUGUAUAUGACCAGAUGGAUUCAACACCCUCCUUGUAUAAACUGAACUAUUAACAGCUUCGUAAUGAUAAUAUAAAUCCUUAUCAUUAGAAACAAAAGCAUACGUGUAAAUUUGAUUGGGGUUCAAGUUGGGCGUGCCAGAAAAUCUAAGGCCAUUCCAAGGCCCCGCACGUGAAUCUAUAGCAGAACCUUUCCUUAUCAUUUGCUGUGGAAAUCCAUUACGUUCAAUAUAAUUUGUAUAUUCACCUGGAGAUGGAUCAUCAAGACUCUUCCAAGAAGUGAGGUAUCUUUCAAGCCCAGUUUCCAAAUUCCACCCAAGCUUAGCACCCGGUAAUUGAGUGUCGCCUGGUUUAUCAAAACUUUGCCACAGGUAUUUAUCACUCUCACUUUCAUCUCUAAUGACAAGAUUCCCAGAAUCCAGCAGCUGCACGACAGGAUUAUUCACAGAUGCCGUGGAGUUUGAUGACCAAACCACAUCAUCAGAAGCAUUGAGAAUGACAAGAUUUCCAUUGCUGUUAAGUCUCAAGAGAUUUGAUGAAGUAUUAAGAGGAGCUUCUCUAUUGGCAAUCCACACAAUUGUCUUUACGGCUAUCUUCUUGUACCAGAUACCCACGUACCGAUUUGCAGAACUCCCAACAGUUACAAAGCCAAGCUCAAAAUGACCACCAGAUGAAACAAUAGUGCUUCCAUCAUCUCUAAGGAUUUGUUCUGGUCCUAUAAUGUCUCCGGCUGCUGCUACUUUACAGUUUAGCGAAACAGAAAAUGACAAAAUGCAGAAUAAAAAAAACUUCAGAACUGUUGUAGAGCUGCAGCCUUCCAUCAACUCUGUUAUAUUAUUUCAGUUGUUGCUCAGAGAGAUGUAAAAAAUCAACAGUGUUCCCCUUCCUUAAUGUCAUGUAUGCGAAUUAUGUACCACACACCUUUCCAUCAAAAUCUGUAAUAUGAACAUGAAUUCUAUCUUAUGAAAUUUCCAAGUCUUUCCUUUAUUUAUGACUGCUAUCUGCGUGACUUGUAUCCUAUAUGUAAUGUCCAUUUUGAGAUUAAAAACUUAAAAUACUAGUAUUAUUAUUAAUUUAAUAUUAUCCUUAAUAAUGUGUCAGUUUAUUUAGAGGAAGCAAAGCUGCUUCUGUCUUUUGGUUUUCUUAACCCGUUUGUGUAAAUAUAUAGAAACUCUUUUAACAAGUUAAGAAUGUUAGCUUCUCUCUGGUUUCUAUUUUUUUUUCCAAACACUUUAUUAACUUAUUUAGUUUUUACUUGUAAUCCACUUCUUUACUUUAAACAAGAUGUCACUUUUUUUAAACUUAUCCAAACAGCCCUAUUACAUUGCAUAAUUUUGCGUAGGACUGAACAUGAUUUAGGCAAAACCUAUUAACUAAGUUUAUAAGUAUUGUGUUAGAAUAUGAUCCUGCUAAGCCCUCCUCCUAACACCUUCAGUUUUUAGGAGAAUUGGUCACUUAUCAGAGUUUAGGCUUGCGAGCAAUAUUCUCAUAAAUUAUAAGGACACGAAGGCAAGUUUAUGUCCCUUUCGAGUGAGGUUAGAAUAUGAUCCUGCUAAACCCUCCUCCCUAACAUCUUGAGUUUUUAGGAGAAUUGGAUUGAUUACUAAACAUGUUGUUUAAAUAUUAUUCAUUAAUAUCAACAGAGGAUGUCUAUAGAAGAUUUCAGAUGUGCCAGUGAGUAUUCGAGGGCUGAGUUGCUUUUCUUGUCUACUGUACGCUUUAUGUUAUAAAUAUACCAACUUGAACAAAUCAUUGCAACUAUGGCCAACCUAAUUGUUCAGUUUUUGUCAACCUUUGAUCCGAAGCAUUACGUCAAAACACCAUAAGGUUCCAUGCACCCUCUGCAUCAAUUCCCUCUCCUUCUCUUCGUUCUUGCCGAUUAGAAAGAUUCCGGCAGCCUCUCCCCCACCUCUCUCCUUCCCCUAUUUCUUUCCCCUCUCUCUCCCUCACGGUGCAAUCACAGCCACUAACGAGGGCUCCCCCAGUCACUUUCAGAGGAAAACGAACUUCGUAAGUAAAAAUGAAAAUACAAAUUUAAGUUGUGUUUUGGAGUUUUUAUAUAAUGACCGUAUAACAUUAGAAUUAUCCAAUAUUAAAAUAUCAAAAUUUGUUUAUCAUAUAUUUUUAUUUCAUUUCAUUAUUAUUAUACUGUUAUAAAAACACUUUCAUUUUAAUCACGAUUUGUAAUAUACUCCCAUCAUCUCAAAAAGAUUGAAUUUGUUUGAUUUUCACCGAGAUUAAGAAAAAUAUAAUGAAAAAGAAUAAAUUUAGUUGAAGAGUAGGUAAAGUAGUGAGACCUAUCAAAAUUUAAUAAUAGAUUUGAGAUAGCGGAGGAAAAUAGUGGUUGCAAUAGUGUUUAUUUAAUUAAUAAAAAGAGAGUAUAAAAUAGAGAAGUCAAUGGUUGAUAGUAAAAAGUAGUGUUUAAAAAUAUUAAAUAUAAUAGAUUCAUUAUUUUUGGGACAUCACAUAAAAGAAUAAGGGUCAAAUAAAAUGGAACGGACUGCUGAACGCCGCUCUGUGUUUUCGCAUCGAGAAUUAUUUGCACCGGUUUUGCUUGGUGGGCGGGGAAUGCUCAGCUGAUUCACCAACAAAAUUACACGUAGCCACGUAGGUGGCUUAUUAAUAUUAGCAUGCACCUCCGCAUCAAUUCAAUUGUAAAUGUUGAUAGAGGAAUUUGGUAAUCAACAAAGAUGAGGUUCAUGGCCGGAAUCAAGAUCUAUGACGGUGGUUUUGGUCGUCGGAGUGCGGUGGUUGUGUGUUUUAGGGGGUGGCUGAGAUUAGGGUUUUGAGUUGGUCUCACGUGCUCGCAACUCAUGAUCCCCUAAUGUGCCUACGUACCCCUAUAUUUAUAGGGGAUCAAGCCGUACGUAGUUCUAUUACCAAGACUCCUAGUUUGAUCAGGACUAGGCCUCUUGGGGAUAAGACCAACCCUGAGGUGGUGACUUAUCUCUUAGACGUCCAACGCCUUCAGAGUCCUACUCCAGUUAGAAUUAAGCCUUGAGGCCAACUACCUCAGACUCCUAGUCCAAGUACAUCACGGAUACGGCAUCAUCCCCACUACGAGAGAUGACACUAACCGCUACUUUUCGUAGCAUGGAGGAGACAUCCUGGUAGAGCCGUGACCAAUUCCCUGAGGUGUAGGGCGCGCCCUUCCCCCUUAGUGAAGGUUCUCACUAAGAGGUAAGACAAGUAAGGAGCCAAGUUACACGAUCGUCUCAGUCCCCCAAUGAGGGCUAACUCACCAGAAUACAGGACCCAGACAUAUGAUCGGCCUUCAUGUCACCCCUGAGGGCCUUCUACAACCGUGAUCACCCCAAGCCCCCGCACGAGGACAACCCGGCAGAUAGCAGGAUUGGGGAUUAUAGAUCACGCCCGGUCGUAACCCGGGAACUACCAGAUGAGCCUGAUAACUUCCAGAUGAGCCUGGCACUAGUCUUCAUAUCCCUCAGAAGGGUCGUCAUAUACCCCGGAGGGGUAGGUCUUCAUAUCCCCCGGAGGGGGGGGGUCUUCUUCUCCCUCGGAAAGGGUAAGUCUUCGUAUCCCUCGGAAGGGUAAGUCUUCGUAUCCCUCGGAAGGGUCAUCACUGAGACUCACUCAUCCUCUCACUCAAUACAUUUACAUGUGGGUGCGACCCCUGAGGGCGCGCCCUUCAUCUUCGUUGUCUUGUCCCAUGAGUCGUCCCAACAACAGGUCAGACCUGUCUUCCAAUAUCCGAAGGCCGCGCCCAGGGGAUCGUCCCGCUAAGGGCGCGCCCUUGGUCUUCAUCUUAUGGUCCAUUUCUUACAAGGACCGUGACCCUCGGUCACCUCCGAAGAGGGCGCGCCCUCCUCCAACACCAUGACCAAUUUUGGUCAUAACAGGGUGGACGGAGGGUCGGUCGCGUCUUUCCAUCAACAUUCUCAAGUGAGGCGUCCCUCCUUGUGACUCGGAGGACGCGUCUUCUUCACACAACAUCGGCGGAUUAGUCACGCCACGGAGGGCUGCGCCCUUCCGUUCAGACUAGUCUCUUCAAGGGUCGGUCGCGUCCUUCCUUUGUAUGCAGAAGGGCGCGUCCCGAUACCUCAUAUAGGACUCUUAGUCCAAUUCAUGUCUUACUUAGUUAAACCAAGUACAUACCCGGCCCAAUAAGGACCUAGCCAAAUUUGGCUAUAACAAGUACUCCCCAAAUUUUCUUGAUAUUGGAGAUAUCAGGGGAAUUUUUACUCCAUACCACACAUACUCUUCCGAGAGCGCGUCCGCGCAUAGAGGCGCGACGUAAGCCACUUCUAUUCCUCGACAUUUCAAGUUGCAGGCUGUGCACAAGCCUUGCAAGUAUAUAAUGUCGGUGUCUUUGAUCAUUUAGCAAAGUUGCUAAGAAUGAGGCUGGCGCAUCUUUAUGACGUGUUCAUAAGUAAUGAGCAAUCUUUAUGUAGAUAAAAGAAAACAGGGGGCGCGGCCUAUCUGUCGUUGACAGUGGCGCAGCUUCGCUUAUUCCUUCCAAAGGACACAUUCAACCAUAACAUUCGCGCCAAUGAACUUCAACAAAAGAAGGGCGCGUCUUCGCGAUGCGAAGGUUGGUGGCUGUUUUUCAGCCUUAGUGUGUCCAUGGUACCUAGGAACAGUAAAUAUAAGGCACGACUUACAGAAUGGCGCCGCCUUGUUAUAACAUGACCCCUUUUCUAUCUUUUUUAAAGAAUUGCCUAAGCAGAGGGCGCGGCUGAAGGCGCUACCUUGCAAUAUUUCUUUUCUUCCAAGGACUGUAUAAGCAGAGGGCGCAGCCUUACUUGUGAUGUGGGCUCUUUUGAUCUUUUCCAAGGAUUAAGUAGAGGGCGCGGCCUUUGGCGCAGCCUUACUUUUUCACGCGUGAAUCACUUGUUUAAGAAAUUCAAAAGAACCACUCCCCAGUCCAUACAUCAUCCCAUAUGGGGCAUCACGAAUCUUAUCGUGGUUUAAGAAACUCCGGUGCAUCGCACGGGUCCCAGAGCUCAUAGCUCAAUGGGGAAUUAAUAGUAUAAACUGUUAUCUGGAGCAUAUCAUGGAUAUGUAAGAUCCAGAGCGUAUCAUGGAUGCGCAAGUAUAAUGUCCAGAGCGUAUCAUGGAUGCGCAAAUAUAGUAUCCGGAGCGUAUCAUGGAUAUGUAAAUAAUCAUAGCAUCCAGAGUAGAUCGUGGAUGACAUCCAGAGCGUAUCAUGGAUGGUUAAAAUUCAUAGUACCCAGAGCUGGUCAUGGAUAAUUUGGUAACCUUUGAAAGGCCUUAAGUGUACCUUGAUCAAAGACCUUGCAGGUAUCAUGCUACGUUCCUGUAGAACGGAGGGCGCGCCCUCAUCAAGAUGGACAGCUCCUUUAGCAUGUUGGACUUGACCUGCACUUUAUCAUGUAUACGACUUAAUACUGAUGGUCAGUGUUACCUCAUGACGCGCCCUGUUAGGGGAAGGCGCGUCCUCCCAAAUUAUCAACCCUGGAAACAUGACUUUGGAACUCGGGGUGCGUCCAACUGGGAGGAGGCGCGUCUUUGAAACAUCUCCCUUCUCAACCUUACUAUCCUGGGGGCGCGUCCUCAUGCGCUUCCUCAAGUGAUGAGUACUUCCGAGAGGGCGCGCCCUAGGGAGGGACGUGACCUCUUCAAGACUAGUGAGCUCCUUCCUGAGUAUGUUUGUCUUCACAAAAUAUCAUAUGAAGCAAUUAAUGCAUCAGACAUACCAGAGGGCGCGCCUUGUCAGAGGGAGGCGCGCAAUUCGUUCUGAUAGAAUACCAGUUGGAUAUGGCGUACCCCUUUGUGACAGCGCGCCUUGUUAGAGGAAGGCGCGACUAUUCCUCACGGCGAAGAGGUGUAUUCCUCAUACAGGUAACACCAUAUUACCUGUGACUUUAUACAUGCAGUAGUCUUAGGGAACUAAAUACUGAGGGGGUUUAGGAUUUACCUGAGGGCGCGCCCGGUCAGGGGAAGGCGCGCACCCUUACGACUUUUCGAGCUAGGUUCCAUCUCAAUAGCUCGCCCUUCGUAACCUUCCCGUUCAUAUCAUCACACGUGGUCAGGCCUCCAACAUGCGGUCGAACACCACGUUACCUGUAGUUUUCAAUGUGCCAUACUUCUAGAGAAUGCAGUAACGAGGAGGUUUAGAGUAGAGUUUACCUGGAGGCGCGCUCUGUCGGGGGGAGGCGCGCCCUUUGCAACUUUUCAAGGUUCGCUCCAUUUGAAUAACUCCCCGCUCAUAACUUUCCCUUUCAUAUCAUCAUCUGCGGUCAGGCCUUCAACACGUGCCUCUCGGGAACCUCGAAUCAUUUGCUUUGGAGAGGGUACGCUCCUUCAGAAAACCUUUUUGGCUUCCAAGGAGGCGAUCUCCUUCCCGCAAAGGCUCAAACAACAACAGACUCGUUAGUAAUAACAUGUGAGAACGUUGUGGGAAUCUUACCUGGAAGUGCGCCCUGUCAGGGGGAGGCGCGACUUCUUCGGAGGUGUCAGGGAAUGCAUUCCUCACGGUGGUAGUCGGACACCAGAUCUCCUGGAGGUGUACCCUGUCAGGGGGAGGCGUACCCUUCGAACGCGCCGGGUCUCCAAAAAUUGCAUCCUUCGACGACUCCCCGGUCCAGAAAACCUUGCUCGCAAAUUUAUUUACCUCCUAGAAUUUCGUUGAUGAUCGUCCUCCUUCAAACUCCUGAUGGAGAUAUCAUCCUCUUCUGGAGAAUUAGAUCAGGGUCUCCUCCUCUCCUGUGCUCUAGCCAUCGCCCUGCCGGAAAACGCUCCUCCUCUACGUGCGAAUCUCCGUCGUGUGACAUCUCUUCCUCCUAAGAUGAAGAUCUUGAAUAGCCCCUCCUUCUAGCGCCAAUUUGUUGAUAGAGGAAUUUGGUAAUCAACAAAGAUGAGGUUCAUGGCCGGAAUCAAGAUCCGUGACGGUGGUUUUGGUCGCCGGAGAGUGGUGGUUGUUUGUUUUAGGGGGUGGCUGAGAUUAGGGUUUUGAGUUGGUCUCACGUGCUCUCAACUCAUGAUCCCCCAAUGUGCCUACGUACCCCCGACCCCUGAGGGCGCGCCCUUCANNNNNNNNNNNNNNNNNNNNNNNNNNNNNNNNNNNNNNNNNNNNNNNNNNNNNNNNNNNNNNNNNNNNNNNNNNNNNNNNNNNNNNNNNNNNNNNNNNNNNNNNNNNNNNNNNNNNNNNNNNNNNNNNNNNNNNNNNNNNNNNNNNNNNNNNNNNNNNNNNNNNNNNNNNNNNNNNNNNNNNNNNNNNNNNNNNNNNNNNNNNNNNNNNNNNNNNNNNNNNNNNNNNNNNNNNNNNNNNNNNNNNNNNNNNNNNNNNNNNNNNNNNNNNNNNNNNNNNNNNNNNNNNNNNNNNNNNNNNNNNNNNNNNNNNNNNNNNNNNNNNNNNNNNNNNNNNNNNNNNNNNNNNNNNNNNNNNNNNNNNNNNNNNNNNNNNNNNNNNNNNNNNNNNNNNNNNNNNNNNNNNNNNNNNNNNNNNNNNNNNNNNNNNNNNNNNNNNNNNNNNNNNNNNNNNNNNNNNNNNNNNNNNNNNNNNNNNNNNNNNNNNNNNNNNNNNNNNNNNNNNNNNNNNNNNNNNNNNNNNNNNNNNNNNNNNNNNNNNNNNNNNNNNNNNNNNNNNNNNNNNNNNNNNNNNNNNNNNNNNNNNNNNNNNNNNNNNNNNNNNNNNNNNNNNNNNNNNNNNNNNNNNNNNNNNNNNNNNNNNNNNNNNNNNNNNNNNNNNNNNNNNNNNNNNNNNNNNNNNNNNNNNNNNNNNNNNNNNNNNNNNNNNNNNNNNNNNNNNNNNNNNNNNNNNNNNNNNNNNNNNNNNNNNNNNNNNNNNNNNNNNNNNNNNNNNNNNNNNNNNNNNNNNNNNNNNNNNNNNNNNNNNNNNNNNNNNNNNNNNNNNNNNNNNNNNNNNNNNNNNNNNNNNNNNNNNNNNNNNNNNNNNNNNNNNNNNNNNNNNNNNNNNNNNNNNNNNNNNNNNNNNNNNNNNNNNNNNNNNNNNNNNNNNNNNNNNNNNNNNNNNNNNNNNNNNNNNNNNNNNNNNNNNNNNNNNNNNNNNNNNNNNNNNNNNNNNNNNNNNNNNNNNNNNNNNNNNNNNNNNNNNNNNNNNNNNNNNNNNNNNNNNNNNNNNNNNNNNNNNNNNNNNNAAGCCGUACGUAGUUCUAUUACCAUGACUCCUAGUUUGAUCAGGACUAGGCCUCUUGGGGAUAAGACCAACCCUGAGGUGGUGACUUAUCUCUUAGACGUCCAACGCCUUCAGAGUCCUACUCCAGUUAGAAUUAAGCCUUGAGGCCAACUACCUCAGACUCCUAGUCCAAGUACAUCACGGAUACGGCAUCAUCCCCACUACGAGAGAUGACACUAACCGCUACUUUUCGUAGCAUGGAGGAGACAUCUUGGUAGAGUCGUGACCAAUUUCCUGAGGUGUAGGGCGCGCCCUUCCCCCUUAGUGAAGGUUCUCACUAAGAGGUAAGACAAGUAAGGAGCCAAGUUACACGAUCGUCUCAGUCCCCCAAUGAGGGCUAACUCACCAGAAUACAGGACCCAGACAUAUGAUCGGCCUUCAUGUCACCCCUGAGGGCCUUCUACAAUCAUGAUCACCCCAAGCCCUCGCACGAGGACAACCCGGCAGAUAGCAGGAUUGGGGAUUAUAGAUCACGCCCGGUCGUAACCCGGGAACUACCAGAUGAGUCUGAUAACUUCCAGAUGAGCCUGGCACUAGUCUUCAUAUCCCUCGGAAGGGUAGGUCUUCGUAUCCCUUGGNNNNNNNNNNNNNNNNNNNNNNNNNNNNNNNNNNNNNNNNNNNNNNNNNNNNNNNNNNNNNNNNNNNNNNNNNNNNNNNNNNNNNNNNNNNNNNNNNNNNNNNNNNNNNNNNNNNNNNNNNNNNNNNNNNNNNNNNNNNNNNNNNNNNNNNNNNNNNNNNNNNNNNNNNNNNNNNNNNNNNNNNNNNNNNNNNNNNNNNNNNNNNNNNNNNNNNNNNNNNNNNNNNNNNNNNNNNNNNNNNNNNNNNNNNNNNNNNNNNNNNNNNNNNNNNNNNNNNNNNNNNNNNNNNNNNNNNNNNNNNNNNNNNNNNNNNNNNNNNNNNNNNNNNNNNNNNNNNNNNNNNNNNNNNNNNNNNNNNNNNNNNNNNNNNNNNNNNNNNNNNNNNNNNNNNNNNNNNNNNNNNNNNNNNNNNNNNNNNNNNNNNNNNNNNNNNNNNNNNNNNNNNNNNNNNNNNNNNNNNNNNNNNNNNNNNNNNNNNNNNNNNNNNNNNNNNNNNNNNNNNNNNNNNNNNNNNNNNNNNNNNNNNNNNNNNNNNNNNNNNNNNNNNNNNNNNNNNNNNNNNNNNNNNNNNNNNNNNNNNNNNNNNNNNNNNNNNNNNNNNNNNNNNNNNNNNNNNNNNNNNNNNNNNNNNNNNNNNNNNNNNNNNNNNNNNNNNNNNNNNNNNNNNNNNNNNNNNNNNNNNNNNNNNNNNNNNNNNNNNNNNNNNNNNNNNNNNNNNNNNNNNNNNNNNNNNNNNCUUUAUUAGAUUUGAACUACUAAGAUGACCUAUACCUGAGUUGCCGCGGCGGCGGCGCCUGUAAAUACCAUAGUAUUUGAUUUUUGUUUCUUGAGAUAUACUCCCUCCUUCCCAUUUUAAUUGUCCACUUUGCUCAAAUCACACAUAUUAUCUCUUCCUCUUCGAGAUUUCACCUAGUCCCCUCCUUCUAGCGCCAAAUUGUUGAUAGAGGAAUUUGGUGAAUCAACAAACGUGAGGUUCGUUGCCGGAAUAAGGUGUUUCACGGUGAUUGUAUGACAGAGAUUCGCCGUGGGCGGUGGUUUUAAGUGUUUGAGGGUGGCUGAGAUCAAGGGAAUAUAUUUCUGCUCUCGUUCUCACAACUCUCGAUAUAUCCCCCUGAUGUGCCUACGUACCCCUUUAUAUAGGGGAUCAAGCCGUACGUAGUUCUAUGAAACCAGGAGUCCUAGUUUGAUCAGGACUAGGCCUCUUGGCGAUAAGGUCGGAGAUAGGCCGAAGGCCCAUCCUGGAGGGUCCUACUCCUGUUAGAGUUAGUCUUGAGUAUGACCACCUCAGACUCCUAAUCCAAAUAGAUCACGGAUUCAACGAUAUCUCCACUACGAGAGAUAGCAUCUACCACGACUCUUAUGGAGAAGUUAUCUGGGCAAGCCAUGACCAACCCCUCAAGGUGCAGGGACAUGUCCUCACCUCCCGGUGAGGUCUUUAUCUUCAGACAAGGUAGACAAGGAGCCAAAUUACACGAUCGUCUCAAUCCCCCGAUGAGGGCUAACUCACCAGAAUACAGGAUUCAGACAUAUGAUCGGCCUUCAGAUUACCCCGGAGGGCCUUCGAGAACCAUGAUCACCUCAAGCCCCAACACGAGGGUUAACUCGGCAGAUAGCAGGAUUGAGGAUUGUAGAUCAUGUCCGGAUGAGCCCGAGAACUAUCAGAUGAGCCUGAUAACUACCAAAUGAGCUUGGUAACUGGUCUUCAUAUCCCUCGGAAGGGUCGUCACGGAGACUCACUCAUCCUCUCUCUUUCAUCAUAUAUUUCAUAAUUAUGUCUCUUUUUAGGUCAAGGGAUGCGCCUCUCUCGGGAGGACGCGUCCUUCCCUUCCCUUAUCUUCAUGUUCUUCCUCCUGGACAAGAGACCGCACCUCCCGGACCAUGUUUGGGGAGGGCGCGUCCUCUCCUUUACCUGGUAUACAAAAAUGGCUACAACAAGUACUCCCCAGAUUCUCCUAUUAUUGAAAAUGUUAGGGGAAUCUUCACAUCCUCUGUCGCUUUGCUGUUCAUCCAGUUCUUUUGCACUUCUUCCUUUGAUAAGACGCGUCCUUCGUAGUGGGCGCGUCCUUCCUCGUCCAACAUUCCACCUGUUAUUUAAUUUGAAAUUCAAACUGACAGCUGUCCCUUCCUUUCCUAUAAAUACCCCUUCACACAUUCGUCUUCUUCAUUUCACGCAACUGCCAUUCUCUCUCCGGCGAUUUGAGCUUUCCGAGCACGACAUCGUAUUUUCCGGCCACUAUUUGCGAUUUCAACCCAGCCAAUUGCUUCCCCAUCUACCAAGGUACGAUCUCCAUCCAUUUUCGUCAGAUUUCGCUGAGUUAAUUAGUAGAUCUAAGCAUAUGUCCUUUCGACUACCUCCAUGUUCUUCGCGUUCUUCAAAUAUGCAUAUGUAUAUAUAUUUGCAUCUUCUCGUCUUUGAUCCGUUUGAUCCGCUGUAGCUUUAUAUAAAAGUGUUUGUAGAAUGUAAAUUCGCAUCUCUAGGCCCAAGGCGCGUCCUCUCUUUUUGGACGCGCCUCCUGUAAUUUAGGCUAAUGUAUCUUAAACUGAACACUCCCCUGUGUCUCCCUUUAUUGAGAAUCCUUCCAACUAAUAGGAGGACGCGCCCUGCUUACCCAACGCGUCUUCCCUUAUACCCCAAACCUACACCCUUCUUUUUUCCUCCACCUCUUUCUAAUUCAUUUUCUCAAUCUUAUUACCAAGAGGGCGCGCCCUGACUCCUUUCUUAUUUUUUUUCAGCUGGCAGGCGAGGGCGCGUCCCCACCCUUCCAUCCAUUCAGAAACUUCCUAGAAAGACGAGGCAUCUCCCUCUCUCCUCCAGAGGUGUUUUCUCCAACUCCACCACGCCCCUCUUACAUUCUUUCUGAAGACGAGAAGGAGAGAAUUAUCCGUAACCUUGCACGAGAUAUGGAGUCUUCGCAUUCCUCAACCCCCCAUAUGACUACUCCACCCCCUCCGGCUGACGAGGCCACCAGCACUCCUCCCUUGACUAACCGCCCUGUAGAUUAUGAUUCCGAGUUCGAAAAUUGGCUGGAGGAACCACAAGGCGCAUCCAUCCCUACCCGUAAAGGGAAGGGAAAAUAUUACCAAAUCAUUUCAUCCUCGGAACAUGACACCUCCCCCUCUUCACCUAGUGACAAGGAUGAUCCAAACUACGAGCUCUCUGACAAGGGGGGCGAGGGCGCGUCCUCCCACCAAGCUAGCGAGGAUAAUGAUAACCAAGAGAGCUCUCAGGGCGCGUCCUCAAGCAAGGUGCCCAGGGUUCACCCAUCUCCUCCACCCUCUCCUGAGCCAUACUCACAUCCAAAGGUGGAAGAAUGGGAAGAAGAUGUGGAUUGGACUGAGUACGAGGAUAUGGAGCUCUCUUUCAAAAUGGUCGAAGAAAUAAAGAAGAAUAAGGGGAAGUUAAGCUGUGUAGACUAACCCUCUUCACUUUCCUGGGAGGAGUUGGAAUGGACAAUGGCCUAUUACGAGCAAAAGGGGACUGCUGUGGUACCCCUCGAGGAAAUGAGGGCUCAUCGAUUUGACAUAGGAAAUUACAGAAUUCCUCGCCUCGUCCUGACCCCUCGACAUGUGAGCUUAGGAGUGGGCGCGCCUUUACAUGAGUAUUUCGAGGCUAUUUGUGAAUGGUUUGAUAUCGCACCCAUCCAGCUGUCACCAAACUCCUAUAAGUUGGCAGCAGGCCUGUACAUCCUAUAUAGAGACGAGGGGUAUGGCGCGCCCUCUAUGGAAGAGUUGAGUUAUUUCUUCCGGCUCACAAGAAGUUCUUUGGGCUACUUCUUCCUUGUUGUCAGGAAGCAACACAACAACAAAGGAUUUAGUGAAGGGCGCGCCUCCCACAUCAAGAAAUGGAAAGAACCUUUCUUUUACGUCUAUGACGUUAAGAGGGUUAGGACGCAGUUCAACAUUUCUCCAGGUUAGCACAUCUUUUCUUAGGACGCGUCCUUUCAUUUGUUGAGACCCUUUUUGUUGACUUGUCCUUUACCUUCUUUAGUUGAACGAGGGAUGCCCUCUCUAGAGGAUGAGGCUCUGGAAAGAGCGCAACACAUUCUGAAUCUUCCUCACGAGAGGAAGAACAUGACACUUCUCGUCACCACCCCAAAUCUUGUUAGGGCUGGUUUCCUUCCCCCCAACAUAGGCACCAAGGUGGGGUUCAAAGUGUUUAGGGACGGUAAACCCCUCACAGAUAGAAAGCAUAGGUUUUCUAGGAAAGAAUCCAGGGAGCCAAGUCCCGAAAAUUUAUCCGACCAAGGUAUGACUGGGCGCGCCCUCCCUAUAUUUUGAGGGCGCGUCUUACACUUUUCAUAUAUUUGCAUGACCUCACUUGUUUACUUCUGAAGCACAUCUUAUAUCCAUAUCUUUGGUUUAUCAAUUUAUGUAUGUGACUGACGUGUCUUUAUCAUUGCUUGGCAGAUAUGACAAACGUUCCUGCUUUCUUCAACCGGACAAAGCUCAACACUGGGGAGGGCGCGUCUGCACAACCCUCAGGAUCAAAACGGGGCGCGCCUGCCCUCGACACCCAGAAGCUGGGCGACAAGGCCAAUCCCACGCUAGAGGACUCUAGGGUCCCGAAAAAACAGAGGGUGUUAAAGAAGCAGUCCUCCUCUGGCCUCUCAACCAGGGCUCUGGGCGAGAUAGGCGCGUCCAACGCCUCGGACGAUGAAUUAAGGGCAUGGCGCGCCAAGUCUGAGGCUGACAAGGAUGCAUGGAUCCUUAAGGCCAGCUGUGAGAUGUUGGUCCACAAUAUGGACCGAGAAAAUGCUAAAGUGGCUCAAGAGACGCGCCUUUCGAACCUGGAGAAGGAGGUUUCUCAGCUUAAGAAGGAUGCGAAGAGGCAGGAGAAGGCGCUGCAGGCAGCUGAGAGCGCCAAAAAAGCAGCCGAGGAGAGCUUAACUUCUGAGAGGGCGCACCUUGAGAAGGAAAUUGCUGAUUUAAAGAAGGCAAACUCCCGAGGAUAUGGAGCUCUCUUUCAAAAUGGUCGAAGAAAUAAAGAAGAAUAAGGGGAAGUUAAGCUGUGUAGACUAACCCUCUUCACUUUCCUGGGAGGAGUUGGAAUGGACAAUGGCCUAUUACGAGCAAAAGGGGACUGCUGUGGUACCCCUCGAGGAAAUGAGGGCUCAUCGAUUUGACAUAGGAAAUUACAGAAUUCCUCGCCUCGUCCUGACCCCUCGACAUGUGAGCUUAGGAGUGGGCGCGCCUUUACAUGAGUAUUUCGAGGCUAUUUGUGAAUGGUUUGAUAUCGCACCCAUCCAGCUGUCACCAAACUCCUAUAAGUUGGCAGCAGGCCUGUACAUCCUAUAUAGAGACGAGGGGUAUGGCGCGCCCUCUAUGGAAGAGUUGAGUUAUUUCUUCCGGCUCACAAGAAGUUCUUUGGGCUACUUCUUCCUUGUUGUCAGGAAGCAACACAACAACAAAGGAUUUAGUGAAGGGCGCGCCUCCCACAUCAAGAAAUGGAAAGAACCUUUCUUUUACGUCUAUGACGUUAAGAGGGUUAGGACGCAGUUCAACAUUUCUCCAGGUUAGCACAUCUUUUCUUAGGACGCGUCCUUUCAUUUGUUGAGACCCUUUUUGUUGACUUGUCCUUUACCUUCUUUAGUUGAACGAGGGAUGCCCUCUCUAGAGGAUGAGGCUCUGGAAAGAGCGCAACACAUUCUGAAUCUUCCUCACGAGAGGAAGAACAUGACACUUCUCGUCACCACCCCAAAUCUUGUUAGGGCUGGUUUCCUUCCCCCCAACAUAGGCACCAAGGUGGGGUUCAAAGUGUUUAGGGACGGUAAACCCCUCACAGAUAGGAAGCAUAGGUUUUCUAGGAAAGAGUCCAGGGAGCCAAGUCCCGAAAAUUUAUCCGACCAAGGUAUGACUGGGCGCGCCCUCCCUAUAUUUUGAGGGCGCGUCUUACACUUUUCAUAUAUUUGCAUGACCUCACUUGUUUACUUCUGAAGCACAUCUUAUAUCCAUAUCUUUGGUUUAUCAAUUUAUGUAUGUGACUGACGUGUCUUUAUCAUUGCUUGGCAGAUAUGACAAACGUUCCUGCUUUCUUCAACCGGACAAAGCUCAACACUGGGGAGGGCGCGUCUGCACAACCCUCAGGAUCAAAACGGGGCGCGCCUGCCCUCGACACCCAGAAGCUGGGCGACAAGGCCAAUCCCACGCUAGAGGACUCUAGGGUCCCGAAAAAACAGAGGGUGUUAAAGAAGCAGUCCUCCUCUGGCCUCUCAACCAGGGCUCUGGGCGAGAUAGGCGCGUCCAACGCCUCGGACGAUGAAUUAAGGGCAUGGCGCGCCAAGUCUGAGGCUGACAAGGAUGCAUGGAUCCUUAAGGCCAGCUGUGAGAUGUUGGUCCACAAUAUGGACCGAGAAAAUGCUAAAGUGGCUCAAGAGACGCGCCUUUCGAACCUGGAGAAGGAGGUUUCUCAGCUUAAGAAGGAUGCGAAGAGGCAGGAGAAGGCGCUGCAGGCAGCUGAGAGCGCCAAAAAAGCAGCCGAGGAGAGCUUAACUUCUGAGAGGGCGCACCUUGAGAAGGAAAUUGCUGAUUUAAAGAAGGCAAACUCCACCCUCGAGUCUUCCAACCGGAGUCUGGUGGAGGAGAAAGAUAAGGUUGAGGGCGCGUCCUUCUUUGAGGGUGUUUGCAGCUAUAUUGCUACGUUCCUCUCUGGGGAGCCUAACUAUGAUUGGCUUCCUAAAUUUGGGAAGACCGCAGCCGAUUUCAUGGCUAAGUUCCCUGAGGAGCACCCUGAACUGAUGGUGGCCAAACGAGCUGAGCUGGAGGCCACCUUAGCCAAGGAGGCGGCUGAAGGGACGGCGCGCCAAGAAGGCAACUUUCAAGGGGAGGACGCGUCUGCCUAGUAAAUCACAUUUUAAUCAUAUUGUUGUGUUAAACAUUGAAUGGUUUGAAUAUUUUUGAGGAGUGGGUCCUCUGUAAAACCCUGCAACUUGUAGUAUAUUUGUCUUGCGUACAGGGCGCGCCCUGUGCGCCUUUAAUUUAUAGCACUCGCAUCUUUCUGUUGCUUUAAUAACUAUUGUCACCAAGUCGUUUCUUGUUUUGCAUAUUCAUCUUAUAUUUAUGACGUGCAAUAGUUUGUCGUUGUUAUAUUUCGGAGAGCGCGCCCUGCCAUACCAACUCAAAGAUUUGCUAGCAACUGUCCCACCGAGGGCGCGCCCUCUAAUAAGGAGUCUCAAUUCACUCCUUAUGCGCAACAUACAUUAUACAAAGAUUGAUGUAGUAUAGUGGGGGGUCCUUCUCAUUCAAAGAAGAUGAGUUGGAUACUUAUCUUUGGUGGACGCGUCCCCUUGUAGUGGACAUCCUUUGACCUGAACUUGGGGAGGAUUACUCCACUCCCCGAGUUAUUCUUUCCGAUGGGGGUGGUGUCUGAGUCGUUCCUAUCAACUCGUGUCGUUGGUGAGGUAUCAGUAUUUUUAACUAUGGAGGGGGGCGCGUCCUUUCUCGUUAACCGAGGGCGCGCCUCCUAGUUUUUCACCCUUGAUGUUUUUCACUGUAUUCGUGAGUUAAAUGUCCUUAAUAAGUUGCCACGCUUUUUUGCCUCGUUUAUCUGAGGGGAGGGCGCGCCCAAGGUGCGGCUGCCAUCCCUUGCCCAAGUGUCAACAAACACUUUGCUUAUAUUCGUCUAUAGACACAUACUGCACGCAUUGCACACAUUUCUUUGUGGGAAAGGAGUGGCUCUUGGCCUUUAUUAAGGAAAACUGAAUUAUAUCACGGCCUCUGGCCCAUAGUAAAUCUGAUAACUAAUGCGCUCAAGUACGAAACCGCACCCGUCCCAAGGAGCUGUUAACUCCAAGGGGAUAUAAACAGACUGGCAAGAGCCUUAGUCUAAAGAAGAGCAUAUGUACACUACUCCCCUAGACUAGGUAUGAUGAUUAUUCAUUGCUAGUCUACGUAGCCUGUGGCUACUGAUAGUACUUCUUUAGAUGUUCCGCGUUCCAAGGUCUUGGAACGGGUUUUCCAUCUAAGUCUUUUAAUCUAUAUGUACCCUUCCAUAAUAUGACCUUGACUUUGUAGGGUCCUUCCCAGUUGGCUCCGAAAACUCCAUGUUAGGGAUUUUUAUUAUUGAGCACAACCUUCCUGAGGACUAGGUCGCCAACUUGGAAGGGAUGAGCCUUCACCUUGCUGUUAUAAUAUCUGGCCGUCCUCCGUUGGUAAGCGGCUAAGCGCAGCUGGGAUGUGGCUCUGAUUUCUUCAAUCAUGUCCAAGUAUAGCCUUUGACCCACAUCGUUGUCAAGUUGGUCGAAGUAAUCUCUCCUGAAGGAUCCUGCUCCUAUCUCGAUUGGGACCAUGGCCUCGCACCCAUAAGAUAGGACGAAGGGCGACUCCCCAGUCGUUGUCCUGGGAGUGGUGUUGUAGGACCAUAGGACCAUCGGGAGUUCUUCCGGCCAAUUCCCCUUGCUAUCUUCCAACUUUGUCUUCAAAGUAUGCUUGAUGAUUUUGUUGACCGCCUCCGUCUGGCCGUUGCUUUGGGGAUGGUACACUGCCGCAAAGUCUUUCUUGAUUCCUAGAUUUUCACAUAAGCCUCUUAGUUCCUUGCUGUCGAACUGCUUCCCAUUAUCCGAGAUUAGCUUGUAAGGGACUCCGAACCUGCAAACAAUAGAGUUAAAAACAAAAUCUGUUAUUUUCUUGGCUGUGAUGGUGGCUAAGGGUGCGGCUUCUGCCCACUUAGUGAAGUAGUCGACCGCAACUACUGCAUACUUCACUCCUCCCUUGGCUUUCGGGAGUUCCCCGAUCAAGUCUAUCCCCCACAUAGCGAAGGGCCAAGGACUAGUCAUGCUGGUGAGAGAGGUGGCUGGGCUAUUGGUGAAGUUGGCGAAUCGUUGGCACUUGUCGCAUGCUUUGGCGAAAUUGAAAGCAUCGCUCCUCAAGGUUGGCCAGUAGAACCCUUGUCUCAAGAUUUUCAUGGCGAGGGAGUUGCCUCCCGAAUGAUUUCCACAUAUUCCUUCAUGGAUUUCCCUCAUCACGUAGGUGCAUUCCUCUCCAUCGAUGCAUUUGAGCAAUGGUUGGUUGAAGCCUCUCUUGUAUAGCUUCCCAUCAUACUCUACGUACCUGGCGGCCUUGUACUUCAAUUUUCGGGCCUCGGCUUUGUCCUCGGGCAGCCUACCCUCCUUGAUGAAAUUCCAAAUUGGAGUCAUCCAUGUGGGGCUCUCAUCUUUAUCUUUGAUUUCGGUUACCUCAAGUUCGGGGAUGCUAGGUAUCUCCUGUAUUUCUAAGCGGAUGACUCCCAACAAGGCUGCGUCCUUCUGGGAUGCUAGUUUUGCGAGGGCGUCCGCAUCUCCAUUAAAUUCUCGGGGUACCCUGUUCACUUGGACUUCUCCGAAUUGAUCCAAUAACUUUUGGACGCAUCUAAGGUACAUGGCUGUUUUGGGUCCUUUUGCCUGGUAUCCCCCUUUGAUGUGUUCAACAACUAACAUGGAGUCGACCUUUAUAACAAGCUUUCUCACUUUCAUUUCAAGGGCAAGCCUGAGCCCUCCGAUCAGGGCUUCAUAUUCUGCAUCGUUGUUUGAGAGCUGGAAGGUAAAGUGAGUUGCGUUCAAGAGUCUAUGUCCUUCCGGACUUACGAGCACUAUCCCAGCUCCCGCUCCUUCAUUAUUUACUGCUCCAUCUGUAUGCAAUAUCCACCAGAGUUCGGGUAUGCUUUCCUUGGGGCAUGCCUGCUGCGGUGGUAGGUCGGGAUCAUAUUUGAUCAGGAGACCAGACUCCUCUCCAUCUUCAGGGAAUUCCAAGAUAAAAUCUGCUAGGGCCUGUCCUUUGAUGGCGGUUCUUGGUUUGUAAUCUAGGUCAAACUGCCCCAACUCGACUGCCCACUUCAUCAUCCUACCGGUUACUUCUGGUUUAUGCAUGAUUUGUCAGAGGGGGUACGCCGUCCUGACCUCCACUUUAUGAGCCUGGAAGUAUGGUCGCAAUUUCCUAGUUGCAUGUACCAGGGCAUAUACCAGCUUCUCCAUACUUGUGUAGCGAGUCUCUGCGUCUAGCAACCUCUUGCUCACGUAGUAGAUUGGGGACUGCCCCUCCUCAUCUUCUUUCACCAAUACAGCGCUUAUGGAGUAGUCUGAAACGGCUAACUAAAGGACAAGCGUCUCUCCUUCCUGAGGUUUGGCUAAGAGGGGUGGCUCGCCCAAAUGUUUCUUAAUUUUUAUGAAGGCGUCCUCGCACUCCUCCGUCCACUCGAAAUCUUUGGAUGCACCUUUGAUGGCCUUGAAAAACUCCUUGCAUUUCUCCGAGGAUUUUGACACGAACCUAUUUAAGGCGGCUAUCCUUCCUGUCAGACUUUGCACUUGCUUAACGUUGGCUGGGGACUUCAUGUCCAGUAAUGCUUUGAUCUUUGCUGGGUUGGCCUCUAUGCCCCUGUGGUUAACCAUAAAACCAAGGAACUUUCCCGACUCCACUCCGAACACACAUUUCUGCGGGUUGAGUUUCAUUCUAAAUUUCCUUAGGAUUUCGAACAUCUCAGACAGGUGGGCAACGUGGUCAUCGUCCUUUUUGGAUUUAACCAGCAUGUCGUCUACAUACACUUCCAUUGUCUUCCCAAUCUGAUCUUUAAACAUCAUGUUCACCAACCUUUGAUAAGUCGCCCCUGCGUUGAUGAGCCCAAAGGGCAUGCCGAUGUAGCAAUAUAGACCCCUGUCGGUGAUGAAGGAGGUGUGCUCCUGGUCGAGUUCAUACAUGGGAAUCUGAUUGUACCCCGAGUAGGCAUCCAUAAAGCUGAGGAGGGCGUGUCCUGCCGUCGAAUCUACCAGCUGAUCAAUACGAGGGAGUGGGAAGCUAUCCUUUGGACACGCCUUGUUGAGAUCCGUGAAGUCUAUGCAUGUGCGCCACUUCCCAUUGGGUUUCUUGACAAGUACGGGGUUUGCUAGCCAUUUCGGGUAGAACGACUCCUUCACUAAUCCUGCUUUCAAGAGGCGAUCGACUUCCUCCUGCAGGGCCUCGGCUCUUUCUCCGCUGAUGGGUCUUCUCUUUUGUCUAGCACCUUUUUUAGAGGGGUCGACAUUCAGGUGAUGGCACAUAACUGCCGGGUCUAUCCCCACCAUAUCCUCGUGGCUCCAAGCAAAUACGUCGAGGCUAUUUGUAAGGAAUUCUAUCAGCUUGCUCCUUACCUCUGGACCUAGUUUGGAUCCUAUCUUCAGGAUCUUGCCAUCACUCCCCGGUGUAACUUGCACGUCGAUCGUAUCUUCAGCUGGCCCCGUGUUCUGCACUUGCAUGGGUAAUCUUGGGUCUAAGUCGAAGUCGAACUGGUGCAAGGUUUCCUUUGGUUCUGAGGGCACGUCCUUAAAGACCUCUUUGGGAGGAGAGGGCUCCUCUAACUCCAUGACGAUCUCCCGUUGAUCCAUCCUCCUGACUUUCUUUGGAGGUGCCUCUUCCAUUUCGAUAACCAAUUCUUCACAUUCUUCGGACGUUGAUUCAUCGACAAGAGUGGGCUCGCCCUUGUGAGGGACGCGUCCUCCGAGUGGUGGGGGGCUGGGCGCGUCUUCACUGUCGCUUUCUGGAUACUGAACGAGGUAGAGAGCAUGGACCGAAUGAAGUUCUUCAUGGAGUGGCACUCCCCUUCUGUCUCGAAAAUUCUUGAGUGACCGGCCAUAGCAAUCGCGAGAUUCAUAUUGGGAUCCCUUCACACAACCAACUCCUCCAGGAGUGGGGAACUUCAAAGUAAGAUGAUAAAUGGAGGUGAUUAUCCUCAUGUCCUUCAAGAGGGGGCGUCCCAUAAGUGCAUUAUGCGCUGAGGGAUGGUCGAUGACCACAAACUCGGCAAUUUGAGUGGCCGCUCGUGGAGCCUCUCCUAAGGUGACUGGCAAGCGUAUGGUUCCUUUGGCUUUAAUGGCCUCCCCUCCGAAGCCAUAUAUGUAGAGAUUCUCUACGGUCAUGUCUUUAUCUGGUAAUCCCAUCUUCUUGUAGGUGUCGAAGUAGAGAAUGUUGACCGAACUACCAUUGUCGACAAAUACUCGAUGAACAUUUAAGGCAGCGAUGCGGAUGGCGAUCACCAAAGCAUCAUUAUGAGGAUGGUGUACCCACCUCGCAUCGUCCUCCGUAAAGGUGAUGUCCAUGGUUUCUCCCUUAAAUACUCGUGGGGCUCUGGCCGACAGAUGGUUCACGUUGGUAAGAGGGUAGUCCUUCGCUUCCUUAGCAUAUUUCUCCAUUGCCUUUCGACUGCCUCCCCCUAUGUAAGGUCCCCCGAAUAUGCUCCUGAUGCUGCCUUCUCUUACAAAUUGAGUAUCGUUCUGCUUUUCAUCAGCCCUGUCAUUCUGUAAAGCACCGAGGCCGCGUCUUUCCGGAGGAUGGUCUGUCCUGUACUUUUUUACCCAUUCCGUUAGGUAUCCUUCUUUGAGUAGAUAUUCGAUUUCCUCUUUCAGAUGCCGACACUCGGAGGUGCUAUGUCCUGCUGACUCGUGGAAGUCGCAAUACUUCUUUUUGUCUUUGGCUAUGUGUUGCGGAAUAGGUUGAGGUUUCUGGAACGGCACCUUAUCCUUGGUCAUCGCAUAGACAUGUUCAGCUGAGGCUGUUAACGGGGUAUAUACUCCUGACUGUCUUGGAGGAGGACUCCAAGUUCUUUUGCUCGAAGUCAUAUUUACCCUACCCGGAGAGCGGGCGCGUCCUCUUGGUUCUGGACUGGGAGUGCGAUCUUUUCUUUUGUAUUUAGAUUUGGCGAUCUCCUUUUGAUUCUCGGCCAACGACUGCUCUACCUUUUUGAAGGAUUCGGCUACGGAAUAUAGCUCGGACAGAGAGGCCGGGUCCUUCCCUUGGAGGUGCUUCCAGAAGUCGGUACCAACCUUGAGUCCAGCGAUAAGGAAGUUCUUCAGGGUUUCGUCUGAGGCUCCUUUCACUCCCAUGGAUUCCUGGUUAAACCUCUUGAAAUAUGCGGUCAAAGUUUAACUGUCGCGCUGCUUGACAUUGGCAAGCGUAGUAACGGGUGGAGCGUAUUUGGUUUCGGCUUGGAAUUAAGUCAUGACCAUCUGCUGCAUACCUUCCCAAGAGGAGAUGACUCCUCCUCACAACUUUUGAAACCAUUGUUGAGCACUGUCCCUCAGGGUUGCUGCUAGGAACCUACACCUGACUAGGUCGGGAAUCUGAUAUAGGUCCAUUUCAAUGUUGAACCUGAUCAGGAAUUUGCGGGGGUCGGCAUUCCCGUGAUAGCGGAGAUCUGCAUGCAGGUUUCUGAAACCGGUUGGUAGUUGGGCCUCGCGGAUCAUAGCUAAACUGUUUGGGGUGAUACCUAGCCUUUCAGCCAGGGGUCGGGCGUCUGCGUUUUGGUUGACCGUCUCUUGUCCUGUCCUUCCCGUUUGCGCGGGAGGCGUGGUCACGUCCAGGGGCGCGCCGUUUGUGUCGUAAACUCCCUGGCUUAUUAUGGCUCCUGGUGGGAGGUUAGCGUCGGGGGGCGCAUCUCCGUAUUCCAACAUUCGGGGGGUUGGUCGUCUGAAACGUCUACGUCCUCUCCUGCCCUGGCUUUUGGAAUGGCGCGAGCGUCUAGGGACGAGUUCUUCGAGUACAGACUCCAUGGUGUCUAACCUUGCAUCAUACCUCGCUUGACUUUGUUCCAUCCGGUGGAGGGCACUAAGGAGCUCCGUGUUACUGACUACAACCGGGGGUGGGUUGUUUGGCAAGGUGCGGGGGUCCUGUAUGUGCUCGGGUGAGUACGGUUCUAUCGGUUCGUCUUCAACAUAAUAGUCUCCUUCAUAUGGGUCAUCAUCGUGGUUGGCCAUCUCUUCCUCUUCGAGAUUUCACCUAGGCCCCUCCUUCUAGCGCCAAUUUGUUGAUAGAGGAAUUUGGUGAAUCAACAAACGUGAGGUUCGUUGCCGGAAUAAGGUGUUUCACGGUGAUUAUAUGACGGAAAUCCGCCGUGGGCGGUAGAUUUAGGUGUUUGAGGGUGGCUGAGAUCAAGGGAAUAUAUUUCUGCUCUCGUUCUCACAACUCUCGAUAUAUCCCCCUGAUGUGCCUACGUACCCCUUUAUAUAGGGGAUCAAGCCAUACGUAGUUCUAUGGAACCAGGAGUCCUAGUUUGAUCAGGACUAGGCCUCUUGGCGAUAAGGUCGGAGAUAGGCCGAAGGCCCAUCCUGGAGAGUCCUACUCCUGUUAGAAUUAGUCUUGAGUAUGACCACCUCAGACUCCUAAUCCAAAUAGAUCACGGAUUCAACGAUAUCUCCACUACGAGAGAUAGCAUCUACCACGACUCUUAUGGAGAAGUUAUCUGGGCAAGCCAUGACCAACCCCUCAAGGUGCAGGGACAUGUCCUCACCUCCCGGUGAGGUCUUUAUCUUCAGACAAGGUGGACAAGGAGCCAAAUUACACGAUCGUCUCAAUCCCCCGAUGAGGGCUAACUCACCAGAAUACAGGAUUCAGACAUAUGAUCGGCCUUCAGAUUACCCCGGAGGGCCUUCGAGAACAAUGAUCACCUCAAGCCCCCACACGAGAGUUAACUCGGCAGAUAGCAGGAUUGAGGAUUGUAGAUCAUGCCCGGAUGAGCCCGAGAACUAUCAGAUGAGCCUGAUAACUACCAAAUGAGCUUGGUAACUGGUCUUCAUAUCCCUCGGAAGGGUCGUCACGGAAACUCACUCAUCCUCUCUCUUUCAUCAUAUAUUUCAUAAUUAUGUCUCUUUUUAGGUCAAGGGAUGCGCCUCUCUCGGGAGGACGCGUCCUUCCCUUCCCUUAUCUUCAUGUUCUUCCUCCUGGACAAGAGACCGCACCUCCCGGACCAUGUUUGGGGAGGGCGCGUCCCCCUCCUUCCCAUUUUAAUUGUCCACUUUGCUCAAAUCACACAUAUUAAGAAAAAUUAAAUAUGAUAUGUUGUUAUCAUUGUUAUGCAUUAAUUAUACAAAAACACUACUAAAUUUUCAUUCAUUUUGUUAAAAGUCAACAUAGUUUGCAUUGUAAAUCAUGAAAAUUGUACAUGCUAAUAAAUGUUAACAUUGAAACUUGUAUAAAAUUGUAUUGGACAAAGAAAUAGGACAAAUAAUAUGAGAAAUUUUUUCUUUGCAAAGUGGACUAUUAAAAUGGGAAGGAAGGAGUACUUUCUAAACUCUAAGCAAGAGGUAUAUUCUUUUUGUUUGGCUUUGAUUCUAAUAAUGUUAGGGAAAACAAUACUACGCCCUCGUUUGAUAACCCCUUAACCAAACUAUUUUAACUGGACGAGUAAAACUUUAUGAUUAAGAUUAUUUGUUUACUGCAUCCCGUGGCUGGACGAAACCAAAAACCUUCUGGACGACUGGAUCUUAAAAAUGUAGCUUAACCGUUGAGAAUACAGACCAAGUGAAAUUCCUCUGUUUAGCUUACAGAAAGUUGUUUUUCUUUUUAUUUUUAAAAAUGGAAAGUUGUUUUUCUUAUGCAUUAAAAAAAUUGUCAUAUUAUACAAUUUGAUAUUAUGUUUAUAUCAAAAUUUUAAAAUAAUAAUAUAAUAAUAAUUAUCUAUAAUAAUUCUACAAUUAGAUGUAGAGCAUUAUAUUAAUUUUAUAUUUUUAUUAUGAUUAUUAAUAUUUUCAUUAAGUUUUAUUUAACGGUCCAAUGUCACUAUAAUAAAUUGAAUAUAUAUUUUUUGAAUGCAUAAGUUGUAAAAUCAUAUGAUUAUUCAAUAAUGAAAAGAAAGUUUAUAUAUAUUUUAUAUGUAUUAUUUUAUAAUUUUAAAAUGAGAUUUAUUUUCAGAAAAGUAGAAGUCUAAAACAAGAUUUAAUGACAAUUUCAUUUUCGUUCAAAAAUUCAUGUCAUUCAAAUUUGUUGUCGUCUAGAGAAUAUCAUCCAGAUUUAUCAAAUCAACUAUGUGUCUACAUAUGUAAAACCAGGUCAAAUUUGAUUUUGCAAGAACCGAAGACUUUUUGGUCUGCAGUGUAGUAGCACACGUCUCUUUACCAAGUUCCACACAUUGUCGACCAAAUUUUCUCCCCAAAAAUCAGUGAGGGGGUGACUUGCAUUUCUUCGCCCUCUAUUGACCGGAACCUUGUUGACAAACUUGCAUAUCAACUUAGUCCGCCCCAUAUUCCUGUUUCGUUUUGCAAUAUAUCAAAACUUAAAAAGUGAAAUAGUUUAGUAUUCCCUCCGUCUUAAUUUAUAAAUCUCUUUUGCUUUUUCAGAGUCAAACUGACAAAUUUUUGAUCAAUUAUUAAAAAAUAUUUAUUUGUUGUUUUACAAAAUGAAAAGUUACAUAUUAAAAUUGAUUUGAUUUAUCUUUUGAUGAUAUUUUUUUAAAUUCUUUUUUCAAUUAUAUAAUAUCUAUUAAUUUCAGUCAAAAGUAUAGUCAAUUAAUCAAAAGUCAAAAUGGACUUAUAUAUUGAGACGAAAGAAGUAUUCACUAAAUCAUUCCGUUAAGAUGAACGACAAUUAGACUUGUGUUAUUAAAUAAAGAGUUAAUUACACUUUAUAAUCUCUAGGUUUGCUCCAAACGCAUUUUAGUACCUGAACUUUAAAACGUGACAAUAUGCACCCUACACUUAAUAUUCAUGUGCAAGUUGUAACCCCUAGUCAUUAUUCCAUCCAAAUCUGUCGUCAACUUUAACGGUUUAAGAGAUAAGAAUGUGUAUAUUAGUUUGUAACAGCUACUUUACCCCCUGUGACUCCUCAAAAAUUAUGUAUUAUAUUUUGAAAUUAAUUCUGAACACACACAAUGAUGUAAAAAAAUUUAAAAUAAUUUUUAAAAUUUGUAUCUGGAUUUAGAUCUGAAUUUUUUUUCAAUAAACAAUGUAACUUAUUUUAAAAUUUUAAAAUAAAUACAUAUUUUAAAAUAAGUUACAUCGUUUAUGUAAAAAAAAUAAUUUUUUUAAAAAUUUAAAAUAAUUUUUAAAAUAUGUAUCUUGAUUUAGAAUCUGAAUUUUUUUUAAAAUUUUAAAAUAAAUACAUAUUUUAAAAUAAGUUGCAUCGUUUAUGUAAAAAAAAAUCAAAUUCUAAAUCUAGAUACAUAUUUUAAAAUUUAUCUUAAAUUUUUUUAUAUCGUUGUGUGUGUUUAAAAUAAUUUCAAAAUAUAAUACAUAAUUUUUGAGGGGUCACAAGGGGAUAAAGUAGCCGUUAGAAAUUAAUAUACACACUGUUAGCUCUCAAACAGUUAAGAUUAACGGCAGAUUUGGACGGAAUAGUGAACGGGAAUGUUAAGUUUAGGAUACAUAUUGCCACGUUUUAAAGUUCAGGUACUAAACUGCGUUUGUAGCAAACUUAGGGGUGACAAAGUGUAAUUAACUCUUAAAUAAAUAAAACAUUAGCCUGAACAGGUCCUAUGCGAUUGAUAAUGGAGUCAUCAAGCUCUGUUAUAUGAUAGAUUUAAAACAGGAAUCGAAGUUAAUGCUAAAAUCUAUCAAUGAACUUUGGGAGGGAAAUUGAUAGCAGUGGUUCGGUCUGAGAGGGGAAUCAGUUGCUUCACUCAAAGAGUUUGCUGAUACAGUCAAUUACCACCAGAAUCUAAUGAAAAUCACUUGGAAUAAGAAAUAGAUUUAUUUGCUGUAUAAUUAUAAUGAUGCUAUAAUAACACAUUUCGUUUUUCUUUCGUUUUGGACAAAGAAAUAUUAAAAGCUGCAAUCAUAAUUUAUAUUUUUGAAUAGAAUAAAAACGAGAGAUAAUAUGUUUAUCUAGGAGCUAUAGCUGUCACACUGCAGUAGUUGGAUGAACACGAUGAAGAGUCUCCUUCGUGCACAUUCCUCUCGAUGAAAAAUCCAGGUUGCUUAGGUUGAGGCAGGGGAAGUUCACUGGUCAGCAUUAGCACCACCGUUGCCAUGGUUGGCCUAUCUGCCGGAUAUUGUUGCACACAUAAUAACCCUAUUUGAAUAGCUCGAAACACUUCAUAUUGAUG